UCAUGAAAAGUGCAAUAUAUUUCAAAAUAAUCUGACAAAGAUGUAAGCCAAUGUUAGCCCGAACCUAAAAACAUUCGACCUACAUUAUCUUCAAUGGGUUACCCAUUUAUCAAUAUCUCUAAAAGGACAAAAAAAUAAAAAACUUUAUCUUUAUAUUACUUCACAGAUUUUUAAAAUAAAAAUAAAACAGAAAACACUUUUAUACUAGGUAUUUCAAUAAAAUUCUUUGAAUAAUAAAGACAGAUUAUAUCAAUUUUAUUUAAAUGUUCUUAUUUAAAAUUAAUUGCAAGACAAUCAAUUUUAUUUCAAACAGUCAAAGUCAAACUCAUCGCAAGACAAGAAGGUAGCCGAAAUCCUAUAAGGAGCAUGCUGAAAGGAGAUUACAAAUGAUGCUGAAAACUUGCCAAAUGACCUAUAAAGAGUUUUCCCUCAAUUUGUUACCGUUAUAGGAUUGAUUCCAUAUGAUCCUGAAAUGAACAAUAAGGAGAUUGCUAUCCAUUGCUCUCAAUCCGGAUGCUGAAAAAUGCCAAAUGACCAUUAAGGAGAUUGCUCUCAAUUACUCUCACUUGUGAUACAGAAAAACUGCCAAACGACCUUAAGGAUCACGCUUCCUUAUCAAGCAAAGUCAGCCCAAUAUUUUGCCACAUCUUGGGUGGAAUGCGCCUCAACUUGAGGGUUUCUUUGAUUACUUGGGAGUACUGAAUCUUUGAUUACUUGGAGUACUGAAUCAAAAUCUAGACGAAUGUCGGACCUGAUUCCAACGGUUGUCUCCAUCAACACAUCAUGGUUAGUAAUGAAUAAAUCAUGCAAAUAACCCUUACAUUCAUUAAGUUGUUAGUAAUUGCAUUAAUUCAUGGAAAUAACCCCCAACAAUUCUAAUAGGUAGAUGAUAAGGGAGUCAAUAAAAGCAAAAUAUCUAAAACCUUGAUUGACACCGAAAUACUACAGGUUUAAUUUAACUUUAAAAAACUAAUUUCAUAAUUCUAAAUACAAAAAAAAUUAAGUAUAAAACAAACAUUAAAAAAUGUAAAAGACAAGCCAAACUCGCUAUCCACAAAGAAAGUAGCGCAAGCAUUAAACAUCUGUCAUUUGAUAUCAGGAGAUUCUCAAAAGCAAAUGCAUAUAAUCACUACCAAAAUUUACAUUCGGGUUUCAUAUACACUUUGCUUAAUCCUCCAAAGUUAAAAAUACAACUAACCAUCACAUCACAAAAACUAGAAGUAAGGUAAAUAACUUCGGUAUAAUGAAUUUCAAAUGGAUCAGAUUAUUUGGCUUGAUUUCUCAAAAGAGAAACAAAUUCGCACAGUAUGUUCAGCUUCGAUCAUCUGGGGAAAUAAUCAUCAAAUCCAAAUUAUAUUCCAUAUAAAAAAACUGAGCAAUUAAAAUUACAAAUAGAAACAAAUAACACAAAUAAACAUUGAUAACUACUAAUUACUAUGGGUCAGAUUAUUUGGCUUGAUUUCUCCAAAGAGAAACAAAUUCGCACAGUUUUUUCAGCUUCGAUCAUCUGGGGAAAUUAUCAUCACACCCAAAAAGUAAAAUUACAAUGCAACCUAAGCAUUAACUUAUCAUGUUAUUCACUAAUACACUUCAAAACAAUUAUUUAAAAAAAAAGACAUAUUAGAAUUGUAACAAUGGAUCAGAUUAUUUGGCUUGAUUUCUCAAAAGAGAAACAAAUUCGCACAGUAUGUUCAGUUUCGAUCAUCUGGGGAAAAAAUCAUCACAUCCAAUUACCAAACAACUCUUAUGAUGUAAAAAUUGAACAUAAUGACACAAAAUUCACAGCCAUUGAUUUUGAAUCAAAUUUCAGUACAACAAAAUGGAUCAGAUAAUUUGGCUUGAUUUCUCAAAAGAGAAACAAAAUUCGCACAGUAUCAUCAGUUUCGAUCACCUGGGGAAAUUAUCAUCACAUCCAAUUUAUCAAUAAAACAGAUCUUUCGCAUUCAACUCAUCAGCAAUAAACACAAUCCCGAUAAAUAAACAAAAAUUAAUGAAUCAGAAAAAAAAUUCAACAAGAGGGAGAAUAUUCCUAUCUGCAAUAGAACUGAAUCAAACAAAAGAAAACAGAGCUUAAAGAAUUGCAGAGAGAAAUCGAUUUGGCGUCAGCUCAUACUCAAAGCUCACACGAUUCAGAGCAUUGGUAAUCAGUAUUUUGACGCUAAAAAAAUUAGGCAAACCCUAAAUCGAAAAUUGAAACAACCACUGCAAAAGACAGAAGCUAUGAGAGAGUGUAAUUGAUAAUAUUAGAGAAGAGAGGCGAAGGUGUUUAUAAAGGAGAAAACGAAAGAAAGAGUCUGCGGCUACAAAACCCUAAUUUAGUUUGUGCGAAAGAAACCCGGGUUGGCCUUCAAGAUUGGAUUAGCCCAUAUAUUCUAAUGGCCCAGCAUAAAAGUUGAAAGAAAUAACCUGAUUUUUUUAAAUACAAAAUAAUGUUAGAAGAGUCAAUUAGGUUAAAAGCAUGUGACUAUAUUGAAAUAGUUAUUAGUAUUAAAAAAUAAAUAUGAUUAAUAUAUUCAAUAUCCAUGUAAAUAAUAAAAUAAUUAACUAUUAAUUUAUUUUUAAAAUAUGUGGUUGAGUUAGUUGAAAAAAAUAAUUUAGUGAAUGUAACCUAUGAGAUUUUUCACAAAAGAAAAUUAAAAAAAUAUAUAUAUAAUAAAAUGUUUUUUAUUUUUAUUUUUUUAAGCAAAAGAUGUAUUAAAAAGAACAAAAUGAUAUGCUUACACAUAUUUGAUAUUCUUACACUUGAUUCAUACGUUACACUGUAUGAACAGCGUAAGAAUCCUAAUUAAAAUAAUCAAACAUUUCUCCUACACUUUUGGUUAUCUAUGUGGUAUUAUAUGUGGGUUAUCUUCACAUUUUCUCUCCUAACAACAACCACAUACAUCAGUUAUGAUGAGUUGUAUGGAAGACUAGCUCAAUAGCAUUUUUCAUUAGCUAUGUUUCGUUCAUAGAAAAGUUUAAUUUCCAAGAAAAUGGUACUAGUUGUUGUUUGAUCUCCAAGAAAAUGAACGAACACCAUUUUUGUUCAAAACUAGUUGUUGUAAAUGUAUCAUGGACUGCUUCUUUCAUUGCAUACUUGAUCCUUUUGUAUUCACCAUAUCAACUAAACUUUUCUGGAAUUUUUUUCAUUAUAUGCCAUAAACACCACCUAUGACGAGUUGUAUGGAAGACUAACUCAAUAGCAUUUUUCAUAGCCUUACAUUGAUCGGUCACAAUACCCAAAGGUGCUUUUUCUAGCAUACAACGAAGUCAUGACUUAAAUAGCCACACAAAAGAAUUUGUGUCUUCACCUAAUAGUAAUCCACAACCAAGUAAUGUUGAUUGACCAUGGUGAUUCACAUCCACGAAUGCAGCAAAAAGCAUGUCAUACUUGUUAGUCAAGUAUGUUGUGUCAAAAGUUACAACAUCUCCAAAAUAUUCGUAAGCGGCUCUACUUCUUGCAUCAGCCCAAAAUACAUUCCUCACAUGAAAAUCAUCACCCAAGUCUAUGUCAUAGAAGAAAUAUGUAUUUUGUUCCCUCGUUUUACAAAAAAUAACUAAUCAAAUUCUUACCAUCACCUUCUUUUCCAAUUGCACGACGCUCUUUGUUAAUAUAAUUCCUCACAUCUUUUUCACAAAAGGGAAUAUUUUCAUGUCCCCCUGCAUCUUUAACAAGCGAUUGAAAAGUCUUGUUGAUCCUUACUCUCACAUCAUCAUUGAUUUGGAUUGUUCUCCUCACAUGUAAGUUCAUUUUCUUGUUAACCUUGAACAAUAUUGCUUUUAUAGGGCUAGUCUCAUGAGAAUGGUUAGAUUCAAAUUGUGUAAUGUACCACAAACCAUCUUGUUUCAAUUUAAUACAAAUCUUGGCAGGACAAUUUUUCGCUCUAGGUGGUAGUGUCUUUAACGUGCAUAAAUUUUUUGAAAUGUUAGACCCCUCUCUUGAACAUGAAAGUAUUAGGUAGUUAACCUCCCCGUCAUCUUCUUUUUUCGAUGAUUUAAUCCUCCAUCCAAACCCCUUUUUUAAAGCAUACUCUUGAUAAUAUGUUUUAACUUUCUCUAAACAAGAAAAACACAUCCCAAUUGCAGGAACCCAAAGUGAGUCAUCAUCAUCACCACCACAAUCACCGUGAUCAACUUCUACAUCUUCCCCUUGACUACUAUCAUAUUCUAUAAAAAUGCUUGAAUUGUCCAUUAUGACACAAACUGCACAAAAAAUGUCAAUGUUAUGUAUAAUAUAAAUUUAUAACAAUGUUGGUUAAUAGCAUUCAAAAGUAUGGUUAAUGUUGUCUAUAAUUUGGUUAAUAAACGCCGAGACAUGUGGGCAGGUUUAUAACAUUGUUUAUUACAAAGUUGGUUAUUGGUGUGACAUAAGUUGGUUAAUACAAUUCCCAAAGUGGUUAAUGAACCAACAUGAGUAAAUAUAUGAAAUCAAAUUGUUUCACAAUUAAUAAACAUGGUUAACGGUGUGAGCAAAGUAGAUGAAUAUUGUUUAGAACAUGGUUAAUGAACAAACAUGAAUAAACAUAUGAAAUCUACAACAGUAAACAAAGUUGAUUAAUACUGUGUUAAAUCUAGAAACAUAUGAACAAUUAUGAACAAACAUAUGAUCCAAAAGAAGAACAUUGAUAUUAUUGGAUGAAUCUACAAAAAUGAUAUCUAAAAACUUAUUGAGUUAAAUCUUCAUCUUAAUCACAUAAUGAUUCUAAAUAACUUUCUAUUUUUCUUCAUAAACCAUGUAUUUGAUUGGGUAUGGUUGUAGAUGUAAAGAAAAGAAUAGUUGAAGAAUAUAUGAGAAAUGGUGCGGAAAAAGAAAGAAGAAAAAGAAAUGGAAACAGUGUGGCUGAUGUAUGUGGUUGUUGUUAGGAGAGAGAAUGUGAAGAUGGCCCACAUAUAAUACCACAUAGAUAACCAAAAGUGUAGGACAAAUGUUUGAUUAUUUUAAGUAGUAUUCUUACAUUGUUCAUACGGUGUAGUGUAUGAAUCAAGUGUAAGAAUAACAAAUUUGUAAAAAGAAAGAUUACUAGGGGUACUCAACCCUUACAAGAGGAUGACGAUAUAAAUGAAAAUGUUGUAUUAAAAAACUAAGCAAGUAACCUAGUUGGAUUUACAAGACAAACCGACUGAUUGGCACACCAAUUGACCCAAUACCGAGCUUUUGCACCUUUGUUCCUAGCUAUGACCCAGUCAUAAGCCAAUACUUUGGCCUUAUCCACCAAACCAUAUACCCGAAUGGGAGCACAUUUGAACACCAUUUUGUUCCUGUAUGUCCAAAUCGACCAAUAAACUACUACCUAAACCAGAAGUCGGGGCUUUUUAUUCACUCUACCUUUAAGAGAAAAGAAGAAUCUAGAAAAGUAUGUGCCCGAAAAAUCCAAUUGGGAGUGAAAAUGAAUUUCUAGCCAAAGACAAAUUUUCUCUCAGACUCUAGACACUGACUUGUACUCAACAAAUAUAUGAGAAAUAAAGUCAUCAUCAACAAAACAAAGCGGGCAAAGCAAAUUGUUGUUUCCAAAAAUGAUUCCUCUAUUAGUUAAUGCUACUUUAUCAACAGUAACCUCCAACCAAAUAUAAGAAUAUUACUUGGCGUGUUCGUGAACCAAAGCUUAUCCAACAACUGAAUUAUAUUUUCAUCAACCUGCAUAUCAUAAUCAAAGAUUGAUUCAAGAACUUGAUAACAACUUUUAACUGAGAAACCCAACUUGUUCCUCCACCACACAAAUUCAUCCUCCUCAAACGGUUUCACCUGUACCUCCUGCAACAUAGUCAACAAAUAGUCCAAGUCCACUCCUUCUUCCUCAUAUACCAUAGAAUUGUCAUUAAUCUUCACUUCCCAAAUCCAUUUAUUAUCCUCCACUUCCCUCAUGUCUGCUACUUUAUGGUUCGGUUGCACACCUCGAGCAAAAACGAGAGGAAACAUAUUGCCAAUUGCAGCUGGUCCCAGCCAUUUGUUUUUCCAAAAAUCAAGAGAAAGUCCAUUACUUAAUUUACACGAUAUGUUAGAAGAAAACCAGUUUGAAUUUUCCUUCUCAAUUGGACCUACUAGAUUCAAAUCUCUUCAUCAUAACGAAUCAAAUUUGUUGACUGAUGGCCUAUCUUCAUCGAGAAUCUUUGCCUUGAUAUCCCCAUAUCUCAUAGACAACAAGCCCGACCAAAUAGCAUUGGGCUCGAUGAUAAUGCACCAUUUCGACUUACAUAACAAUGAGAUAUUAACCAUCUCAUAAUGUUUAAUUCCUAACCCUGGUUGAGACUUUGGUUUACAUAAAAUCAUCCAACAAAUCCAUGUCAUUUUUCUUUUCUCUACAACACCCCCACAUAAUUUCUUGUAUAACAAACUUGGGAGCCUUGUAGAAAGAGAAUAUGUAAAUUGGGAUCUAAUUUAGAACAUAAUUUAAAAGUGUCACACACCCUCUUAAAGAGAGAAAUUCCCCCUUUCAUUUUGACAAAUGAAUCCUAAGAUUAUCCAACAACGGUUGACGGGUAGAAAGCCUCCUCGGAUUUGCUCCUACUGGUAUGCCUAGAAACAAAAAAGGAAUAAUACGGACACCACACGCCAGGAAGGACGAAGUCACUUCUAAAAAACUUUGCUUGAUGUUAAGACCAAUAACUUUGCUUUUGAUGAAGUUAACAUGCAACCUCAAUACCAAUUUGAAUCCUCUAAAAACUGCUUUUAUAUCCCAAAGGUUAUGCCAUGUUCCUUCUCCUACAAUUAUCAUAUCAUUCACAGAUUAUAAUAAAUUGAACUUAACUUCAUUCGAUACCUUUAAAGGUUGAAACAUACCUGACAAAAUUUCAUUUUGCAUUAAUCCAUUUAAACCUUCAGUUGUGAGCGGGAACAAGAAAGGCGACGACUUUGAUAGUUUUGCAUUUAUUAAAUAACAUGCUUGUAUCGAAGUUAGCAUGUUAUUUAUAAGAUUUGUCUCAAUAUAGUUAACAUAUAUUUGACAAUAAAUAACAUAUAGUUGAUAAGUUUUUUUAUAGUAAAUGAGUUUAUAGUUUAUAAGCUUAUUUGAUGGUUAAAUAGUGAAGAAACUUAUUUACUUUAUAGUGUUUGUUAAAAAUAGCGGCUAAGUUAAUUUAUAAAUGCAAAAUGAGAUUGUAUUUAUAGUUAAUACAAUAAUAAUGACCUUGUCAUUGAUAUGUCAAACAAGAUAUCUUCUUUGAAUGAUUUGUAAAAAUAAUGUGAUAGCUUGACUUAACCUUGGUGGUAGGUGAAUUUAACCCAUUUUAGCAUAAUGAAGCAUACAUGGCCUUUGGGCUUUCUCCUUAUAUUUUGUAGGGUUAACUUCAAACAUCAAAAGCUCUUCAAAGAUCAGAAUGUAAGUUACUAAUUUCAAAAUAAAUGGUCUACUAUCUCUUUCUGAAAAACUUUCAUGAUGAUGAUUAAGAAAGACUCUUAACCAAGAAUCAGAUCCAAGCAUCGAGUCUUUAAGGAAUUAAAAAUUAGGCUCUGAACUUGGAACUUGGGGAACUUGGCAUCAAGUUUUCAAUUCGACAUCAAGCUAAGACUUGGGAAUCAAGCUUUUGAGAGUAAUUCUUAACUAGGUUCUGAUAGCUCUUGUCAAAGAGAUUUGUCUUUCAAAGGUAAUCAAGCUCUGAAAAAGAAUUUCAAAGAAAGCCAAAAUUCAAGCUUCUGAAAGGAACUAGAUUCUGAAACUUCUUCAAAAAGAAUUCAACUAAGCUUCUGAAGUAAAGUUCAUCAGAAUGUUGAUGUUAACAAACCAGUGUUCUAGACAACAUCAAACAACUUCUGAAGACAAAUCAGAUUUUGAUGGAAGACCAUUUUGGUACUUCAAAAAGGUUAAUCAGGAAAGUGCUCUUUCAUUCUGAUUUUAUCUUUUUAGGGUUAUACAUCUCAGGGGGAGAUUUGUGCUUAUGUAAGAUGUGUCCUUUUGUGAUUACCCUGUACAAAAUUGUUCAUCAAAAUAUAUGUUUUUGUCAUCACACAAAAAGGGGGAUAUUGUUAGAACAAUAUUUGGUUUUGAAUCUAUAUAUUGAGUUUUGAUGAUAACAAUGUUGUAUUUGUGUGAUAACAAUUUUGUUAUCCUAAUGGUUUGUCAUUGUGUAGCUUUAACAGCCAGUUCUGAUUUUGAGUGUAUGACGUGCAACAUCAUCAGUUUCUGAACAAUGAGUUCCAAUUCCACUUUUGCACUAGUCAUAAGAAGGUAUGAAAGAUGUUCAAAGUUAUUGCUGCAAUAAUCUUUUUGCUUCUAUGUUGAUUCACUCCUGAGAAGCUUACGAGGAGAUAUUAUGUUGUUGCUGCAAAGUUCUCUCAGUUCGUGCUUAUGGACAUGACUCUGAUCAUUAAGCUUCUGAAGAAUGUCAAGCUUCUGAACUUGUGUUAAUUAGCUGAAGAUUCUGAAGAUCUCAAGUCAGAUGUUGAGGUUAUCAAGGUUUUGAUAGUAGAUUCUGAAGACUCUGAAGAUUCUGAAGAUAUUGAAGAUCUCAAGCUAGACUACUGUCGUUGUCAAGGUUCUGACCAAAGAUUCUGAAGUUUUUGAAUUCAGCUUUAUGUUUCUUCAUUUCAUGCUUCAUCAACUUUCAUCAGAAACCAAUGAACUUGAAAAUAAGGCCAAAUGGGUAUGUGAUCAAAUAGUACAUCGUAGAAAUUAAAUAUUCUUUCCACUACCUGAUUUCGUGGACAAGGACAAUACUAUUCAUCACACUUGUCACUGAUUUUGUGGGCGAAGGACAGUAUGCAAUAUCACUCCUUUCACCAUUCAAUAGUGAACAACCGUUCUAUUUGGUUUCCCCAUUUUCCCUCCAAUGGUCUCUUUUCUUAUGCUAUAUAAGUGGGACUUGGAGACUUGAAGAAAAAAAGUAUGCUUCAACAAUUUGACAAGUUUGUUUCUUUGUGAAAAGCUAUCAAUUUUUGUACACAGUUUUUCUUUAAGUAUUUGAUUAUCAUUCGUGUAAAAUGUGUUUGUAUAGAAGCAACUUGUAACAUACAAAAUAUUGUUCAAACUGUUUAUUUGAUUCCUUAAGGAGACUAGGGUGUAACUAGAUUCUUAAGAAGACAAAGAAGGUUGUUCUUUAUGAAUCCUUAAGGAAUAUAGGGUAUAGUCGAAUCUUUGAGAAGACAAAGAAGGUUAUUCUUUGUGAUUAUUGUAAUCAGUUAAUUAUAAUGGAUUAAGUCCUUAUGUAUAAGGCAAAAUCACCUUGGCGGGUCGACUAGAGUAGCUUUGAGUUUCAAGCGAAUCAGGAUAAAAAUACUUGUGUUUUUAUCUCUUUAUUAUUAACAUUUAAGUGGUGUUUUUGAGUUGGUAAAAAACUUUUGUUUUGUAAAACCCAAUUAAAACUUCCCUUUCUUGUGUUUUCACAUCUUCACUGAUAUGGCUGCAACAACUUAACUUACCAAAUUUCCAUCUUGCCUGAACCAAACCCAACUUAGGGUUCUCAAGAAGGUAAGGAAUUAUCUUCCAAAGAAAAUUUGGAUCUGGAUGGAAAUUUGCAUCAAAUAUUGCCACAAACUCACAAUCCUCAACAUAUUCCUUCUCUAAACCCUCUUUUAGGGUACCUGCUUUGUAACCAUUGUGAUUUGCCCUUAUUACAUACUUGACAUUCACACCUUUAUGUAUCCAUUUUUGACACUCAAAUUCAACCAAUUCCUGCAUGUUAUGAAAAAACACAUGUUUACUAUAACUUUUUACACUCAUACACAUAAACUUAUGAGAUCUUCCAUGAUUAAACUUUACUGGAUUAAUUAGAUACCCUUAAGACUUGAUUUGUUGAGUCAUCAAGAACUUGAACUAUGAGUCUGUCAGUUGGCCAAGAAAGCCCACGUACUGCUCCAAUUGAAAGCUUGUAGACCUUGAAGAAGAAAUUGAAUAUUCUUAACCAAGGUAAUUCAUCUAUAUUCUUUAAUAUUUACUGAAAUUACUUUAUCAACUUAAUGGACAAUCUUUAUUUUUACAAAAGUAACCAACUUGUGUUCUUUGACUUCAGCAUGUAACUAUGAUUUAUGAUGUGUACGAAUCAUCUUAUAUUUUUAGAAAAGCUCCAUACAAUACACAUGAUAGAAGCUGUAGAGUUACUUAAAAUCAAUCAAUCAAAUUUAGUUUCACAACUCAUGAGCUAACAUACUAACAUACAAAUUUAGUCCCUUAAUAAAUAACCAAUAUUUAACCCAUCCUAGUGAAGAAAUGUUCUAACAUACUAAUCGAAACAUUGUUGCUAUUUUGGAAAAUAAUUUGUAAUAUGUCAACUUAAUCCGGUGUUAAAAUUGAAACAUUGCAGCAAGACCAAAUUUAUGAACUCUCCAUACACAACUCAGUUGGAAUAUAUAAAGAAUUUAGAGAAUGAUGCAAUAAUUAUAGACCACAAAAACAUAAUUUGGGUUGAGGGGUAAUGAAAUAUUUUACACCUGUAAACCCUAUAAUCAAAUCAAAUGAUACAUAAUUGACUCUUGUAAUGAGGAAUUAAGAGUUCUUGUCAUGAGGAAUUACUAGAAAAAAUGUAUUAUUUCACUUUUAAUAAUUGAUUCUUUUUAUUUUAGAGUUUAAAUUUAGAUUUUAGUCUCUCAUUCCUUGUACAAAAUGUUAUUUUCUAGUUCUUUUUAUUUUAGGGUUUAAAUUUAGAUUUUAUUCUCUUGUUUCUUAUACAUUUUAUGAUACUAUAUAUUAAAAUGCUCAUUUUAUUGAUUGAAUAUUUAAGUUUUCAUUUCUUAAGAUAACAUUUUACGAUACCAUAUAUCAAAAGGCUCAUUUAAUUGAUUGAAUAUUUAAGUUUUCAUUUCUUAUGAUAACAUUAUUAAUAAUGAAAAUAAUAUAAAGUUGUUUCAUCUUAAAUUGGUCCAGAACCGGUUGAUUUUGCGGCUGAACCUAAGAGAAUCUAUUAUAUUAAUACCCAAUAAUUUAUAGCUUUCAUGCAAUUUUCAUCGAUAUUUAUGCAGGUUUGUUUUGUAUACUAUUUAAUUGGUUAUCAUUUUCUUGAAUAGUAAGACAAAACACAUUUAUAUGUAUGCAUCAUCAUCAUACACAAAACUCAUACUUGUGAUAAAUAUGUAAUUAUAUUGAAAAUAUCUUAGUUUCUACCCUCCAGCUAGGGACGCAUGGAGAGGGUAGUAAUGAGCUCUUACCUAUUUUUCCAUCAUAAUUUAUUAUAAUUAAUUAAUAGUAUAAUAAUAAUAUUAUUUUAUAAUUAAAAUAUAUACGAUAUUAUGAUAUUUGACUUUAAAGAUCAUAUUCGUCUUCCACCAUCCCUAUUUUUUGUUGUUGCAUUUCUCUUAAAAUUAAAAUAUACAUGAUAUUGUGAUAUUUGCCUUUAAAAACUAAAUUUUGUUGUUGUAUUUCUCUUAAAAUAUACAUGGUAUUGUGAUAUUUGCCCUUAAAAACUAAAAUGUUAUUUUUAUUAGAUCAUAUAUAUUAUAAAUUAUAGGCAAUAGAUUAUAUAUAUUAUAUACGUGAUUGAAAUGUUCUUGUUGCCUAGUUAUUCUCUAGCUCGUUUCUAUUAAAAAUAACAAUUGAAACUAGUAAAACUAAUUAUAAAUUGUUUUUAAAUUUUUUUAAGAGAUAAAAAAAUGAAUAAAUAUGAAAGAUCAUUUUACAAUUGUUCCCCCAAAAAUUUGAACUUGAUUAAGCUCUUAACAUGUUUUUUUUCAUAAUUUAAAAAAUUGAAAAAUUAGAGGUAGAGAAUAAAAGACUCCAAAAAAAACUUUUCUCUCGCUUGUUUUUGAAAAGAAAUUAAUGAGUGGUUGAAAAGAUUAUCAUAAUGAUGAAGAUAAAAUUUAAGUAACUAUUUAUAUAAGUACUUAAAGAUAAUUCACACGGGCAUGUUUAUUAUUAUAUUUUAAAAAAAUCUGACCCUUAAUUUAUCUGUAAAAUAAUAAGAGAUUAUUUAAAUUUUUUAAUUAUUUGUUAGAUAAUAUAUGCAUAACACAUAAAUGUAAUAGAGGUUAAAAUUUAGAAUUUCUCUAUAUUUCAAAUAAAUAUAUAUUAUUCAUUCUUACAUGACAUGCAUGAUUUUAAGAGUCAUAUUUAAUAUAUGAAAAAUAAAAAAAAAUACUUGGCGGUGUCUAGCAUGUAGUUGGUUGAAUUCGUUGUGAAUGAAAUGCAUGACUUCAAUAGUCAUAUUGAAAUCAUAUUAAGGAAGAAAAAUCAAUUAUGUGGAAAUCUAUCUAAUAUUUAAAAUUUAUUUAUUUUAUUUAAAAUUAAUGAUAGAUUAAUUGUGUUUUAUUUUUUCUUUAUUAAUAUUCAUAAGGCUUAAGUUUCUAAAAUAAAAUUAAAAUUCUACAUUUUAGAUUAAGUUCAAAUUUAAAUUAUUGAUUAGGAGGCUAAUGGCUUAAUCUUGAUUACGGUUUAAGGCUUAAUCAUGAUUACGAGGGUUCAAAAUUAGUAUUCCCAAGACUUAAGCUUAAUCAUGAUUACGAGUAUCCAAGUUUAAUAUUUAUUUUACUACCUUUCGAUUCAAUUUUAGACUAUCAAAGUCUCUUUUUCUCAAGAAUGGGAGGGAUAAGCUUAUUAUUUCAAAUUAUUAACAAUUCUCAUGUUUACAUUAAUGGAGAGUUUGUUAGGAUUUCGGGUUAAUAGACUUGUCUUGUGGUGUAAGAGUGAGAAUUUAUUCAAGUUUUUUGAUUAAUUUAUACUAUCAAAUAGUUUAAAUAAAAUUGCAAGCGAGACAGAGUGAAAGGAAAAUUCAAGUAAUGAUCAAUGGGUUGAAUAUUUGCUUUAUCCAAUUUUCAUCUCUUUAAUGGUGACCGAUUAUCUUCAAUUUAUUUUUGUUGACAUAAUAGUUUAAAUUUGAAGCUAUAAUAAAUUUUUGAAGGAUUUACUAUUCACGUUUAGUCCUCAAAUUAAGGUUAUCUUGAAUAAAUGUCCAAGUAAAAAUAAUCAAAGAUAUUUUAAUUUGUUUGUGUAUUACUAAUUUAAAUGUUGAAUAUUAUAAAAUUAAUCUUUAUGAAAAUGAGUUAAGAACUAAGGGACCGAGGAAAAUCUAGGAGAAAUUUUGAAUGAAGGAUGCAUUCACUAAAGUCUGCUAGAUUUUUAAAAUGUAUCACCUUGUUCAUUAAUUCAAUCAAGUUUUGAAUCAAUCUAUAAUAAUAUUAAAGGUUAAUUGACAAGUAUUUAAGUUGUUGAUGUUAGAAUAAUAACUCAUUACAAUAGAUAAACAAAAUAGUAAAAUGUCAUUGUGUUUGACAAACACAAUAUAUGGCUCAAAUGAGUAAAGUGAAAAUGACAUAAACACAAACAAUUUAAAUGCUAUGUAAAUGACAAAUGAAUGGUAAAUGACUUGAAUUUAAAUUGCAUAAAGUAAAUGACUUGAAAGUAAAAGCAAUAUUAAUACAAGUUAGUCAAAUGUUAGUUUAUUAGAUGUUAGUGAUGUUUUUUUUUGUUCAAUUGAUUAAGUUAUUCUUUGGAGAACACUCAACCAUCUAUUCACAAGCAUGGAUCCUUGAACCAAGACAUCUUCCAAAGGAAGGAAAAAAGACAAAGUUACCACACAAUACCAUGAAAGAUGGGAGACUUACAAUCUCACUUACUAGAAUGAUAUGCCUUUAGGGUCAAAAUUUAGCUCUAUGUUAAACAAUCAUAAUUGGACUUAUGUAGAAGUCACAACUAUCUGAGGUCGGACAAUAAAAAUUUAGGUGCUAAUGCAUGUUAGAGAUUUGGUAUAAUGAACCAAACUCCUAAAACACACCACACACUAAAAGAAAACAAAUCAAAGGGUGAACCUACCUCAUCCAUACUUGUAUUGGUUCAUCUAACACAAGGUUAUUGAUGAACCAAUUAGUCUUAGGAUAUUGAGAUUUCAUUGGUCAAUGAAAGAGAUUGGAUAGAAAAGGAUUGAAGAUGAAGAGAGAAGGGAGAUGAGAGAAACUCAAAUUGGUCAUGGGAGGAAUUUUAUCAAAUUAAAAUCAUUCAUUCAUUUUGGGAGAUGAAAUGUACAUUUCAUCAAUCCCCUAAAUACAAUGAUUUUAACUUAAUAAAAUUCAAAUCAACCUUGACCAAGGCCCAAACACAUAGCCAAACAUCACAAGUCAAUAAAAAUGGCUCAACAUAAUUUCUAUACAAUUAAUCAAUUAAAAAUCAAAUUAAAAAUGCAUUUUAAUUAAAUUUAGUUUGGUCAAAACCUAAAACCUCUUCAAAACACCAAAUAAAUGGUCAAGAGAUUUAUCCUAGGUUAAACAAAGUCAAAGGACCUUAGACAAAGAAUUUCAUAAUUUUUGAAAAGUCAGAAGUAUUUUUAAACAAUUAAAAAUAUGCACAAAAACAAUUAAUUCAUGAAAAAUAUCAAAAUUAAUCCAAAAAAUAAUUUUAAUUUAGAAAAAAUGAAAGAGGACAAUAUUUAAAGAUUUUUGGUGAAAGUCCCAUAUUUUUUGGAUUAAAAAUGAAAUUAAUAUGAAUCAAUCAAAAUAAGUGGAUUAAAUAAAAAAAUCAGAAAAUACAAAAAAACAAGGGCCACCAAAUCUCCCUCAUUAAUUGAGGUGGCAGAUCUAAUGGCUACACGCGUGCGUUCUAUCGUACGUCUUUUUGUACGCGUGGUAAUCACAAUGAACGCUUGAGAUUAAAACAUUUGAAUCAGAUCAGAUUGCUUGGACUUUGCCAACGUACCUCCGGAGCCCUAGCUCCGGUCAUCUUUUCCGAUGAUCACCACCGGUCUGGUUCAAGCUCAACUUUAUGGAAAAUGAAAAGUAAAUACAAUAAUUUGAAGGAAAAAUGUCCAGGAGCACGAAUCUGACCUUAAUUUUCUCCAAUUCUAAGUAUAUAAAAAGAUACAUGGAUUUGAAUUUUGAGGAUCAUGAACUGAGUUUCUUCGAUUUUACCUCAAAGCAACUCAAUCUUGUUGCCUACAUUGGUAGGACUUCAGUCAACCAAAAAUCAUAAAGAAUGGUGAAGAAUUGAGAGAGAAAUGAAGAGAUGAAGUUUCUGAAAAAUCACCUUCGAGUUGAUCUAAUUUCACUUGAUCUUGAUCUGGAUUUGCUUGCUUUCUCUUCCUCUUGCUUGCAGAAACCAAUUGAGAUGAAAAAGGAAGUGAAUUUCUGGAGUUUGAACUUCCAAACAGAAGGUGAAGUUCAAGCUUGAUUUCAAGAGAAAUAUUCAGAAAUUCUAUGGAAAUGAGGGUUUAGAUCAAUCUAGAAAAGCUUGGGCAGGGUGUUUAUGAAGUUUCUGAAGCCAUGAGCUUGUUUAAAUAGGCAUUGGAAUUGAUUUUUGCACCACUUGAAAUUUUCCAAAUUUGGAAACAAACUUUCAUGGAUGCAUGGGCAAUGAUUUGGGCCUAAGGAAUGAUGCAAUCCAUCUUCAAUUCGUGUGUAAUUGAUGUUGAAGUCAUUACAAUGAAGCAUGUAAAUAAGAAUGAUCUCUUGAAUCCAAAACUUGCCAAAACAAAUCCCACAAUGGAGCCAUGCGCAAGUCCCUCAAUUUUGAUCCAAAUGAGAUGAUAUUAGACUUUUUGGAAAUGUGAGAUCAAGGGGAACAACUUUCAUGUUGAACACUUUUCAUUUGAAGCUUGGAUCAUGAUGAAUUUUGAGGUGGAAGUUUGGGAAAUCAAACAUAUUUGAAAAUUUUCUAAGUCCCAAGUUAAAUGUUCACUUCUUCCACCUUGAAUAACUUUUCCUAUGGACUUCAAAUGAAAAUUGUUUCUUCAUCAAAGUUGUAUCUCUUUCAAACCUCUUCAACUUGGUUAUAAAUUUGACCUCAUUUGGAUUUGUCAUGAAGGAGUUAUAAAUUUUAGAAGUUGAGAAAAAUCACUUGUUCAAUGAUAUUGGCCAAAAAUGACCUAUAAUGUUUCCUCUUGGCACAUGCAUUUGUAAGUUGAAUUUGAACUCAAUCCAAACAUAAAAGUUUAAAUAUACAUUGUGAAUUUGAUCAUGGAAUUUUAAUGGCUUUCAUCUCAUAAGAAUUGAGCAAGUUAUGGUCUUGGGAAGUUAACAUCCAAACUAGGGUUCAGACAAAAUGACCUAUAAUCUUUCACAUUAAAAAAUGACUUUCCAAGCAAAACUAGCUCUAGACUUAAACAUGAAAGUUGUUUGUAAUAUAAUUUUGAGUAAUGUUUAUCUUGGAAUCAUUUUCAUAUGACAAAAAAUGUAGGAGAUAGGGUCUAGGGAACCCCAGUUUUGAUGAGUUGACUUUCUCUGGCCAACCACCAUGAACCAUCUUUCUAGCUUGAAAUUCUCUUGACUUUGGGGACUCAUGGAGGAUAAUAUAGGCAUAAUAAGAUGUAAUAAGAAGUAUCCCUUGAAAUAUUUGAUCAAAUGUUGAAGAAACUUGUUAAAGAAGUCACACAAGAUACCUAGAUGAAUUAGGGCUUCCAAGAUAAACAAGCUUCAAACUCUUGAUGAAUUCUUGAUCAAAAUGACAUGUGAAGAUCAUAGGGAUCCAUAUAUGAUGCCUAGAGCCAAUUUGAACCAUUUAUUUAAUUGAUUUCCUUACAUUGAGGGUCUCAAACCCUAGAUAUGAGCUUGAUGGAGCAUAUGUGAGCAUACACACUACCUACAAAAGAGUUAAACUACACAUUGACAUAUUUUUGGUAUUUUGGUUAGUAAAUAAUAAAAAACAAAGUAUGAUACAAUCAAAAGUGCUUGGUAAUCUCUCCCAAUGCAAACCCAAUGAAUGAGGGGUAAGGAGACUACCAAGGUGUGAUCCCAAAGCUAAUGCGUAUGAUGAAAUAACAUGAGGGAUCUUAGGGUCCAAAUUGGGGUCUUGUAGAGACGUUCAAAGGCAUGUACUUGUUGUACCGACCAUGCAUACCCUGGUCAGAGUCAUCUCUCCAUUGACGGGGUUAUCGAAUGCGUUUUUAGCUUAUUCUCUAAGAUUAUGUAGGACUAAGAUAUGCUUAACAUCUCCUGGGUGAUCUUCACCUUCUUCCUUUCAUUCGUCAAUCAGAAGGGGUGAUCACGUAAAAUGCCAUUCUUAAAGAUCUAACACUUCAGGCAUUCUUCUGCUCCUUCCACCUCAAUACCAGAUUCCUUGAAAUGAUUAAUAUAAAACUAUAAGUUCUCUUUCUUCCUUUGAAUGACCCCUCUCAAGGUAGUUAUGAUCAUCAACUGUCUCUUCCUGACAUUGAAGUGCACGGAGAACCGUUCAUAGAAAUCCAUCCAUUAUUAAAUGCUCUCAUCUGGUAGACCAUUGAACCACAUCCUAGCCAAGCCGACCAGGGUUAAUGUAAACAACUUACACUUAGAUGCUUCGUCAGUGCUGAAAUAGUUCAAUCGGUCAUCGACGAGUUGUACGUGCUCAUCAUGACCGCCUUUUCCAUCAUAUUCGCAUAGUUUAAGAGGCUUAUCCAUGAAUUUUAGUAUUUUGCUAUCCAAAAUCUUGGUACACAACAUAUACUUCUAUUGAACCUUCAACAACCGGUUUACUAUUUGAUAUGAGGGAGGAGCGUGACUGCCUCGGUCUCCCUUGGGACUUUUGGAAUGACUAUGAUACUUUUUGCUUAUUUGGUGAUUCUUAUACUGAUGAGCUUAAUCUCUUCUCGUCACAGUCGACUCUGGACUGACAAUGUGAGCUCUUUGGGAUACAACUUCUUGAACAAUCUUGACUCGCUGAGGCGCUUGGUGAAGGCUUUCUUCAAGGCAAAAUGACCUUUCUUCUAUAGCUUGUGAGUUUUCCCAUCGAACGUUGAUAUACAUGUUCAACAGUUUGUUAGCGACUUGCAGUCCAAGAUUAGCUCGUAGUAACUAGAAGCCAGGUAAGGCUUCAAGCUGAGAAGUUAAUUGUUUCUACAGGGAACCACCACUUUAUGAAUAACAAGAUGGUGAUGGACAUCAAGUGAGCUCUGUCAUAGAUCGAACUAGUUUGUUGAUACCAUAUUAAAUUAGAGAGAAUGAUAUCAUAGAAUUUGAUUUACAUUUUUGUUAAUAUUUUCCAUUACUUUCUAAAUGAUUACAUAAGUUCACUUAUAGUUCUUAAUAAAAGAUAUGUCAUAACAGGGUGUAACUUCAAGCUACUCAAAGCUUGCAAUUACUGAAUAACUAAUUCUAUGAUUUAGUUAUUUGGUUUACAGAGAAAUGAUGUUACAUCCUUCUUUUUAAUGUUCAUAUAAUCUUUAUAACUAAUAAUAUGAAUACUAUGAAAUUAAAUUGCUUUAAUUUAUUUUUUAUUUUAGUUUUCUUUGUUAUAAACUUUUCUAUCUAUAUAUUAAAUGAUCAAAGUAUUUUAGGGUUUAAAUUUAGAUUUUAUUCUCUUGUUCCUUAUACAUUUUAUGAUGCCAUAUGUCAAAAUAAUCAUUUUAAUGAUUUAAUAUAUAAGUUUUCAUUUCUUAUGAUAACAAUAUGAAUAAUAAAAAGUAUAUAAAAUUGUUUACUUCUUAAAUUGGUCCGGAACCAGUUGAUUUUGUGGCCAAACCUAAGAGAGUCUAUUGUACUAAUAGCCAAUAGUUUAUAACUUUUAUGGAAUUUUCAUCGAUAUUUAUGUAUAUUUGUUUUUGUAUACUAUUUAAUUGGUUAUGGUUGUCUUGAAUAGAAAAAAUAAAAUAUAUACGUAGAUGUGUUUCCAUAAUUUUUAGAUCAUAAACCUUGAUAUUUUAUGCAUCAACAUACACUUAGAAGUGUUCAAAUUAAUAAUAAGAUAAAACACAUUUUAUGCAUCAUCAUACCCGAGAGUGAUUGAAAUGUGCAAAUUAUACAUGUUAUAUUGAAAAUAUCUUAGUUCUACCCUUUACCCAAGGACAUAUGGAGAGGGUAGCAAUCAUGGACUCUUACCCUUCUCCCGUGACAAUUUAUUAUAAUUAAUUAAUAGUAUUGAUCAAUAGUAAAAAAAUAUAACUAUUUUAUAAUUGAAAUAUAUAUAUAUAUAUAUAUAUAUAUAUAUAUAUAUAUAUAUAUAUAUAUAUAUANNNNNNNNNNNNNNNNNNNNNNNNNNNNNNNNNNNNNNNNNNNNNNNNNNNNNNNNNNNNNNNNNNNNNNNNNNNNNNNNNNNNNNNNNNNNNNNNNNNNNNNNNNNNNNNNNNNNNNNNNNNNNNNNNNNNNNNNNNNNNNNNNNNNNNNNNNNNNNNNNNNNNNNNNNNNNNNNNNNNNNNNNNNNNNNNNNNNNNNNNNNNNNNNNNNNNNNNNNNNNNNNNNNNNNNNNNNNNNNNNNNNNNNNNNNNNNNNNNNNNNNNNNNNNNNNNNNNNNNNNNNNNNNNNNNNNNNNNNNNNNNNNNNNNNNNNNNNNNNNNNNNNNNNNNNNNNNNNNNNNNNNNNNNNNNNNNNNNNNNNNNNNNNNNNNNNNNNNNNNNNNNNNNNNNNNNNNNNNNNNNNNNNNNNNNNNNNNNNNNNNNNNNNNNNNNNNNNNNNNNNNNNNNNNNNNNNNNNNNNNNNNNNNNNNNNNNNNNNNNNNNNNNNNNNNNNNNNNNNNNNNNNNNNNNNNNNNNNNNNNNNNNNNNNNNNNNNNNNNNNNNNNNNNNNNNNNNNNNNNNNNNNNNNNNNNNNNNNNNNNNNNNNNNNNNNNNNNNNNNNNNNNNNNNNNNNNNNNNNNNNNNNNNNNNNNNNNNNNNNNNNNNNNNNNNNNNNNNNNNNNNNNNNNNNNNNNNNNNNNNNNNNNNNNNNNNNNNNNNNNNNNNNNNNNNNNNNNNNNNNNNNNNNNNNNNNNNNNNNNNNNNNNNNNNNNNNNNNNNNNNNNNNNNNNNNNNNNNNNNNNNNNNNNNNNNNNNNNNNNNNNNNNNNNNNNNNNNNNNNNNNNNNNNNNNNNNNNNNNNNNNNNNNNNNNNNNNNNNNNNNNNNNNNAAAAAGAAAAAUAUAUAUAUAUAUAUAUAUAUAUAUAUAUAUAUAUAUAUAUAUAUAUUAAAGAUUAUUUUAUAAUUGUCGUUCUAAAAUUUUUAAAUUCAUUAAUUUGAGGUUACAAGAUUAAGCUCUUAAGAUGUCUUUGUUUCAGGAUUUAAAAAGUUACAAAAUUAGCCAUAGAGAAGAAAACUCUUUUAAAAACAACCUUUUCUCUCACUUGUUUUUGAAAAGAAAAAAAUGAGUGGAUAAAAAGAUAUAAAGAUGAAGAUGAAAUUUAAGUAACUACUUAUAUACCAAGUAUCCACAAAUAAUUCACACGAACAUGCUUAUUACUAUAUUUUUUUUAAAAAUCUGACAUUUAAUUUGUCAGUAAAAUAAUAACAGGUUAUAAAAUUGUAUGAGAUUAUUCAAAUUUUUUAAUUAAUUGAUAGAUAAUAUAUGUAUAAUGCAUAGAUGUAAUAGAGGUUGAAAUUUAGAAUUUCUAUGUAUUUUAAAUAAAUAUAUAAUAUUCAUUUUUACAUGACAUAUAUGACUCUAAGAGUUCUAUUUAAUAUAUGAAAAAGGAAAGAAAUACAUCAUUUAAUUACUUGUGAAUGAAAUGCAUGACUCCAAUAGUCAUAUUGAAUUCAUGUUAAAGAGGAAAAAUAUGGAGAUUUAUUUAAUAUUUAAAAUUUAUUUAUUUUAUUUAAAAUUAAUGAUAGAUUAAUUGUGUUUUUAUCUUUUCUUUAUUAAUAUUCACAAGGCUUAAGUUUCUAAAAUAAAAUUAAAAGUCUCUAUUUUAGAUUAAGUUCAAAGUUAAAUUAUUGAUUACGAGGUUAAUGGCUUAAUCAUGAUUACGGCUUAAGGUUUAAUCAUGAUUACGAGGGUUCAAAAUUAAUAUUCACAAGGCUUAAGGUUUAAUCAUGAUUACGAGUAUCCAAGUUUAAUCUUUAUUUUACUACCUCUCGAUUCAAUUUUAGACUAUCAAAGUCUAUUUUUCUCGAGGAUGGAAGAGAUAAGCUUAUUAUUUCAAAUGAUUAACAAUUCUCAUGUUUACAUUAAUGGAGAGUUUGUUAUUGGAUUUCGGGUUAAUAGACUUGUCUUGUAGUGUAAGAGUGAGAACUUAUUCAAGGUUUUUGAUUAACUUAUAUCAAAUAGUUUAAAUAAGGGUAAUGUUAACUUGUGCCCCUAGGGCACAAGUUAAGAACUAAAAAAAGAAAUAUUGUGUUGGAAAUUGUGCUUUGAUUUUAAUAAAAAUAUAAAUUUAUUUUUUUAAUUGUUUUUCCUAAUAUAAAUUUACUAUAAUUAGGUUUCUUAACUUGUGCCCCGAGGGCACAAGUUAGCAUUACCCUUUAAAUAAAAUUACAAGCGAGAGACUGAAAGAAAAAUUCAAGUAAAGAAGGAAAUGGUCAAUGGGUCGAAUAUUUACUUUAUUCAAUUUUCAUCUCUUUAAUGGUGAACUAUUAUCUUCAAUUAUUUUUGUUGACAUAAUAGUUUAAAUUUGAAGCUAUAAUAAUUUUUUUGAAGGAUUUAUUAUUCAUGUUUUGUCCUCAAAUUAAGAUUAUCUUGAAUAAAUGUCUUAGUAAAAAUGAAUCAAAGAUAUCUUAAUUUUUUUGUGUAUUAUUAAUUUGAAUGUUGAAUAUUAUAUAAUCAAUCUUUAUGAAAAUGAGUUAAGAACUAAGGGACCGAGGAAAAUCUAAGAGAAAUUUUGAAUGAAGUAUGCUUUCACUAAAGUCUGCUAGGUUUUUAAAAUGUAUCAUCUUGUUCAUUAACUCAAUCAAGUUUUGAAUCAAUCUAUAAUAAUAUUAAAUGAUAAUUGACAAGUAUUUAAGUUGUUGAUGUUAGAAUAAUAACUCAUUACCAUAGAUAAACAAAAUAGUAAAAUGCCAAUGUGUUUGACAAAGAACUUCAACUAAAUAUGUCCAUGUAUCCGACAACAAAGCAAUUAUAGUUAUGUUUUAUUGAAAAUAACUAGGGGUUACAUUGUUAUAAAUCAUAUAUAAAUAUUAAGACUUAAAUUGCAACGUCCUUAAAUUGUCUCAUCCUGUCUCACUUGUUUGUCUUUAACUAAUUAUAAAUAUCUAUGAACCACAUCCAACAAUAUUCAGCUUAGAAAAUAUGAAAUCCUAUAAAAGUUUAUGGUAUAUAACUCACAUCCUAAUGGAUGAGAGAGAAAGUGGGUUUACAAAUAUUUUCAACAAUGAAAAACAUGUAACAAGUUAAAAUAAUUAAUGAUCAUGUCACUAUUAAGAGAUUUAUCAACAUAUCAAUUGCAUUUUAUAAAAUAUUAAACUUAUAAAAUAAUAUUUUUUUAGAUGCAUAUGGAGGAUUAUCUCAAACAAUCCCAAAACACUCUUGUAAUCUUAAAAAUAGUCUCCCAUAAAAAAAUACUCAAAAAUUUAAAAAAGAUCCAUUUAUAUUUAAAUUAUAAAUAAUAUUUAAAACUAAAGAAAAAUAAUAUAUUGGCUGAAAUUUAAUUGUACAAUUAUUAUUUUUGAAUUUUUUUCUCGUAAAAUUCAUUUAUUUAUAGAGUUUUGUCAUUUUCUGAGCUAUUGAAUCAAUUGUAAAUGUGUCAAUUUACCAUGAUAAAAAAUACAAAUAUUUACAAUUUUAUAUUUUAAAAAUAUUCUCAUAAUUAUGAGCUCUCACAAUUUUAAGAAAUUAUGUUAAAACAUGAUUGCACUUGUACGGCUUUCUUAUUCAAUUGUAAUAAUAUAUAAUUUUUUAUUAAAUAUUAAUAUUUCUCAUAAAAAAAUAUUUAUAGGGUUUAUAAAGAAUUAAUAUAGUAAUAGGAAGAAAGCAGAAUUAGUUAGUAACAUUAUAAAACUUUACAAAUAAUAAAUUAGGCAAAGUUACCUAAAUUGUAAAAAAAAAUUAGACCUAGUAACUUGUUUAUUAAUUAUUUAAUUUUAAUGACUUAAUAGAAACUGGUGCAAGAAAUAUUAUGGAAUUUAAAGAUAUUUAAUUAUAACAUUUAAAAAAUAUUAUUCACAAUUCUUACUAUAAAAAUUGAAAAAAAUACCUAUAAUUUUUACUCAGUAAAAAUUUGAGAUGAUUGGUAGAGCUGAAUUUACUUUCAUAAUCAUUUUUGACAAUACAAAAUACAAAAUACAAAAUAAAAAUAUAAUAUAUAAAACAAUUUUAUUCUUAAAAUAAUUAAAGGCGAAUUGAUGAAGUAGAUAAACACUUAUAUUUUAUAUUUUGAACGAAAUGGUUAAUAUUUUUAAGCUAUUUAUCUAAAUUCAAAUAAUUAAAUACAAAAGUGCAAAUAUCAGGAGUUGAUCGGAACAAGUAAAAUAUAUACAAAUUAUUUAAUCUAUUAGUAAUUAAAAAAAAAUUAGUUUGAGACCUCAAAUUUUAUGAGAUUUUUUGAUGUGGGUCUGCUUGACAGACACAUGGCCAACCCUGUACAUAUGUUAUCUUGAGAAACCACAUAUCAAUAUUUUUGUCCCAGUGGGAUAUCUUAAAUAGCCUUCAGUCCUGGUUAACUCUUGAUGAUGAAGAUCUCUUUAAAGGUCAAAACUCACCUUUAAAUCCAUAAUCUCACCAUUGUUAUCCCUUUUAAUAAGAUUCAAUCUUUUCAAGACUUUAAAUCGUUCUUAAAUACUAAUUUCACCAAACUUGAUUUCUCAAUCCUCUAGAAGAUUUCAUUAUAUAUUAUACCAAAGAUGGGUUUAAGAGAUCAAAUUAUUCCACAUAAACUUCCUUAUGUAAUGUUCUCUCUUUCUAAUAUGUGGACUGAGGGGUACCAUUAUUGAAACUAAUCUAAUAGGUUAGGAGGCCUAGUAAAAAAAGUAUUCUAUAGGUAGGAUAUGAAAGAAUAACUCAUUUACCAUUUUUUCAACAACUGACCAAUUAUAAGAAAUAAAACUAUUAUAAGGUGUUAUGUGAGCCGAUAUAUGUGAUUGGCAUGUGUAAUAAAUUAAUGAUGAUAUGCAAUAAAUUCCAGUUGAGUACUAUGUGAAAGUUCUAUGUUGUGAGUUAUUAAUUAAUUAAAUUGAUAAUUACUAUGUUAAUGACCUUUAUAUGCGAUUACUAUUGGGCAUGGUCGAUGAUGAUCUGCCUGUUAGAUUACACAUGUACAAAGAAAGAAUUUAUAAGUGAUUUAAUGGAUCGCCUUGAUUGUUGGAAACUACCAUGCAAUCAUUUAUUACUUUAAUAUGUCACAAAGAGAUCUUUAGAUGGUUUAAACAAGUCUAUAGUUACUUGAACAUGUCUGUUUAUGCAGGAGUAUUGCACCACGUUUGUCACUAGUUAUUUUGAAGUAGAUGGUGCCAACCUUUGAGGAUAUAUUUUCUAGUAGGUGAUACUUAGGAGGGGUUAGUCUAUAUUAUUUUAUUAGUAACACUAAGAAAAUCUUUGUACAAAUAUUAGUCAACAAAAAUAUAUUUGUAAGUUUAAGUAAGUUUAAGAUUAAGGAUGAAGCCCAUAAUUAUCUUGAGCUGUUGUGUUAUAAAAUAAAUGGUUAAUUGUAUGAUAUCUUUGAAAUAUGAAUGAUUUUUGAUUUAUCUCUUGAAUUUUUUUUUUGAUUUCUCUUUAUAAUAUAAAGAUUUUGUUGCUUUGAUCGCUUAGAUGAUAACUUGGUAACGAAUCUUCAUUUUUACUGACGUGAUCUGUGUAGAUAAUUUUUUUUAAUUAUUUGUUUUAUUUUGUAAAAUUCACUUGGGAGUAAACCAAUAAACCAAUACUAUGAUAAAACAAAGCAACUUUUUUAUUAAAUUAUUAUUAUUAUUAUUGCAAAAAAAAACUAUUAAAUAUAUAAUUGCAGAUAAUAAAAAUUAUUGCAAAACAAACUAUAUAUUAGUCCUAGCUCAACUCUCUCUUGAAUAAGACAAACACAAACAUUCUUGAAUAUUUCUAUAUGAGACACUCAAUAUUAUGAGUAUUUUGUCAAAGGAAAACAAUUAACUUCAGCACUAGAAGGAUCAAUAUGGUCUUUGAGUUUUGAGUUCUCAAGGAUUGUUGGCUGAAGAAAAAAAACCUUUUUGAAUGGGGACAAAUAUUGAGCAGUUAAGAGAUUAUGAUUAAAUAAUUUAGGGAUUAAGUGACAACAUAUAAUAGUGAUGCCAAUUAAUAAAGUCAAAAAAGGAGUAUAAAAAGUCCAAAUUUAGCCCCAUCCUUACCAUAUGUUAUUCUUUUUACGAUUUUUUUAGUUUACAAUUAUUUUCCAUUAAAAUCACUAACUAAAACCUUUUUUUUCAACUUAUAAUAUUUUAAAUUAAAUUAAAAAGAAAUACCUUCGGUCAAUGUGAUUAAUACUAUUAAAAAAAAAACUCCAUCAUAUUAUGAUAUGGUAUACUUGAAAAAUCACCCAUCAUCACACCUUAACAAAAUGGUCUAACAUAACACAUGAAUAUGACCGUAUGUUUAUGGGGUGAAGAUGUUGUAUAUUUCAAGGAUUUGAGUUACCAAAUAGUUUAUGGGGUAAAGAUGUUCCUACAACACCUUACCGGAUCAACAAAUGUAUAUCCAUAUGAAUUGACUUCAUGAUAACCAUGGAGGUUUGGAAUGAGAAAUCGAUAGACUACUCUACUUUGAAGGUAAUUAAAGCUUUUACAUUUGCACAUAUCAAGCAAGACAAGGCUAAUGUUAGUGUUGUGAAAUAUGUCUUUAAUGGUUAUUCUGAAAGUGUGAAGAGUUACAAACCAUGGAAGAUGGAGCUUGGAGGAUAAGAAAAUUUCGUAAGUAGGAGUGGUAAUUUUAUGAGACCCAUAUGAGGAUAAAAUGAAAAGAAUUGAAGUGAAAGAGACAUAAACUAUGGUGGAUAGGACUUAGUUUGAGAUAAAUGUUUCUACUAGUGAGACUAGAGAUGAGGAGGAAGUCGAUGCUUCCACUUAUAGUUCUAAUGAGGGGAAACCUACAAUGACUCUUAAUUAUCAGCUAGUUCGUGAUAUAAGGAGAUUGUACCACCUCAACGAUACAUUUAUGUUGAUCUUAUUUGUUAUACUUAGAAAGUAAAUGAAGGGUUGCAAGACAUAUAACUAAGAAUCUUCGGGGAGACAUCUAAAUUAAAGAUAACAAAAAAUGGUUGAAGAUGGUGAAUGAUGAGAUCCAUUCACCGAGAUAAAGAACCAUAUUUGGGAGCUUAAGAGAGUACCUAAAAAACAAAUGGUUGUUGUAUGCACGUGAACUUCAAGAAGAAAUAAAAUAUUCAAGGGAUUGAAGAACCAAGGUUUAAGGUAAUACAUGUAGCAAAGAUAUUUACUUAAGUGUAGGAGAUUGAUUAUAGUGAAAUUUUUUCAACCGUGGUAACAUAAUUUUCUAUAGUGGUACUCAUGGCGAUUGUGAGCGAAUAUGAUAUUAAGUUGGAACAUAUGGAUAUCAAAAUAAUUUUCUUACAUGUAGACCUUGAAGAAGCAAUUUCAUGAAGAAACCUCAAGGUUUUAUAGUGGAAAAGUUUAAGGUGUGUUUAAUGAAGAAAUCCAUGUAUGGUUUGAAAGAAAUCUCAAGGUAAUAUUAUCAUCACUUUGAUAAAUUUCUUCUUAAAUAUGGUUUUUAUGAGAAGUGGUUAUGAUAAUUUUGUAUACAUAUUGAAGAGGAAUGAGGCAGUCAUCCUUCCCCUACUUAUAUAUGUUGAUGAUAUCUUAAUGGAAAACUCUAGAAAGGAAGAGAUCAGUAAGACCAUGGAGAUUUUGAAUGGAUAAUUUAAGAUGAAAGAUCUUGGUGAAGUUAAGAGGAUCCUAUGGAUGAAUAUCACGAGAAAUCAUAAAAAGGCGUGAUUGUUCUUAUCUUAAUAUGAUUACUUGAAGAAAAUGAUGGAUUGAUUUAGAAUGUAAAAUGCUAAAACCGUCAAUAUUCAUUUGAAUUAUCACACGAAGCAUUUGGUUAUGCAAUAUUCUUAAACCAAAGAAGAAUAUAAGACAAGGGAGAAUACUCCCAUGCACUGAGGUUGGAAACAUCAUGUAUGAUAUAGUUUGUAGCAUAUCAGACUUAGCAUAUGCAAAUAGUUUGAAGUGGGUUAUGAGGUACUUGAAUGGUUCAUUAAAGGAUGAUUUGAAAUACAAACAGACAACUUAAGAGGAAGAAACUUCAGAUGGUUUUAUGGAUGCAAACUAUGCGGGAAAUAUGGACACUAGAAAAUCCUUAUCGGGGUUUGUAUUUAUGUUGUUUGGUAUAACUAUAAGUUGGAAGAAAAAUCAAUCAUUGUUAGUCGCAUUAUCUACUACUCAAGCGGAAAAUAUUGCCUUUUAUGAAUGGUUGAAAGGCAUAAUUGAGAAGUUAUGGAUCAAUCAAGAAUGUGUGAAGAUACAUUGUGAUAGUCAAAGUUCCAUUCACUCGGAAAAUCAUCAAGUGUAUAAUGAGGAUACAAAGCACAUUGACAAUCGUUUUCACUUCAUAACAGAGAUGAUCGAGUUGAAGGAGAUUGUGGUUCAGAAGAUGGCUUCAGAAGAUAAUUUGAAAAUAUUUUGAGAGAGCAAUAAGGUGAAUGAUGGAUAAAUUGACAUCACCAUCGAUUUCAAAGUCAAGGUGGAGAACUGUGGAGAUUGAAUAAAAAAGCCUUAUGAAUGAGUUUGUGAGAAUGUAACGUAUUUGCAAAAACACAUUGUAUUUGGAAAAGACGCAAUGCCUCCUUCUUUUGCACAGAAUGCAAUGUGUUUCACCUGACACUUAUAAAACGCAUUUCAACCCUUUUUUUAGAUACGAGAGUGAAAAUGAGUAUUCUCUAGAGAUUGAAACUUAGAGAGACAAAUGAAGGGAUUAUUAAGAUUCCCUGUUCUAAGAAUUAUAAGAUCUUUGGAAUAUCUAAGAGAAUCGGAAAACACUUCUAAACACCUUAAAUUUGUUUGAUUCAUAUAUUAAAUAAAUAAGAUAUAUAUUAAGAAACACUUGAGUAGAAAAUAUAUGAUGUUUUUAUAAUUAUGAAAAAUUAUUUUCUUGUAGCUUAUCUUGUAAUCUUGUAUAAUAACUCUUGAGUUAUAGUAGAUUAGAAAGUUGUUCUCUCCCAUAAUAGAUCGGUUUGAUCAAACUGGAUAAACUAAUUUUGUGUGUGUGUGUGUAUGUUUUUUUCUUCUUCUUAUUCUUAUGGAUUUGCUUACACCUUGUGACAAAUUAAUUAUGUUCGAAGUCUUUUAAAUAAUUGUCAUUGUUUUUGUCUCACGUAUCAUUAUUCUUGUUGUGUUUGACCUUUGAUAUUUUAAUUUCACAACAUAUAUCAACAAAAUAAACCAUUUUUUUUAAAAAUAACCACCAUUUUCAAAAUUAAUUCCAAAAUAACAACUUUUUCAAAAUUUUCCCCAAAAUAACCACCUUUAAAAAAAGACGCGUCAGAUGAACUGGCGCAUCCGUCUUGCAUCAAGAGGAGGCGUCUGCAUUGGAAGCCUCAUGAGGAGGCGCCAAUGCCUAUAGCGUUUGCAUUGUGCCUCAUGAGGAGGCGCCAAUUCCUAUGGCGCCUGCAUGUCUUGACAUGUUAGGCGCCUACCCUCUUGGCGCAUACAUUUUAUAUCUCCUCACUAUAAAUACCUCGCCCUGUAUGCAAUAUUUUUCACAGAAAAUCUUCCCCUACUACCAUAUUUUCUUUCAUUCAACUCCAUUCUCCUUCAAGUUUUUGAGUUUUAACCAUGUCUGAAUACAUUCACAAGCGAAAUUCCAAUUUAAUAUUUUCCACUGUUACGUCUCCGAUAAAGAUUCGACUCUGGAAUAUAGAUUCGUUUGGACGUCUUAAUCGGACGUUGAACAGUUGGUUAGAUGGAGAAAUUAACCUUAUCGAGAAAAGAAGAAAUGUUGACACCGUUGGGGAUAACGUUCCAAAGUUAACCUUAUUGGAAUAGGAAAAGAAAUGGCUAAACAUAACCGGUGUUUAAGACUCACGCUGGAGGCCCCCCUAAAGUUAACCUUAUCGAGAAAAGAAGAAAUGGAGAAACACUGUCGGGGAGAAGGUUCCAAAGUUAACCUUAUUGGAACAAGAAAGAAGCGAAAAAUGGGUUAUAGCCACAGGACUCAAUCUAAAGCGGAUGGACGCUUUUGAGUACCAGUUUAAGAUCUACGGGGGAUUUGUCGAACACGAGGGUUCAGGUUUAAGAAGUGUGGGAGAUAAAAUGAUAGUUGACAAACUACUGGGAGAGAAGGACUAAGCAUAAAUCUUAGACCUAAAGAUAGUAUUGCUAAAACUCUAGUUUAGGCUCACAGUGGAGGUAUGAGGGGAUACAUAACAGGGUCUUGGCUUGCUGAGAAGGUGAACACUGAACACCAAGUUGGUUGGUUAGAUGGAGAAAUUGGAGAUGGUGAAAGGAUUAGAAGAAUCCAAUGGCUUGUAUCCACGUUCAACUAAAAUGGAGAAGUGCGUGAAUGAGUGGAUAUCAAGACUGACCGAGACGUUCAUAGGAUGAUGCAUUACAUGUUCAAAAUUGUUUUGAUGGUUGUAAUCACAUAGUUCUUAUAUUGCAGUUGUUUUAAUUGUUUGUGUUAUUGUUUAUGUAAUGGUAUUUUCCUCAUAAACUUAUAAUAUGAAAUAAAUUUAGUUUUUCAUAUAUUGCAAUAGAGGUACAUGUGAAUUUAUCUGGUUGUGCUCGUUCCAACACUAGGACAAUUAGUACGAUUGUGACCUGGCUGAAGGCAAGAACUACAUAAUCUAACCAUUUUGUUCGCCGUAUCCAUUUUGGUUCGAAUUCGGGUGCUGUUUGGGCGACCCUUUUUCUUUCUUCGCAUAACUUCGUUGUGCUAGAUGAUGCCCCCUUAAUAUUCUGGCCAGUAAUCCUCUUUUGCUACUACGGAAAAACUAAUUUUAUAAACAUUUGAUAGGCUGAUGACUUUGUAAACUUCAGAUAACAAGUAGGAUGGAUCCCUUCGAACCUUUGAACAUGCCGCAAUGACAUGGGAGCAGGGCCCAGAUUGCAACACUGAACUCCAUUUGGAACAUCUGGUCUCAAAUAUCGUCCCUAGCAUGAAAUAUGUUGCAUGCACCAAAGAGGCUAUAUGUAGGUUACAAAUGCCUUUGAAGACAAAGUUCAUUGAUUCCACAAGAUUUGUUAUCAUGUGGCCCCAACCUUGACCGUUGUCGUAUGCCCUAGUCCACUUCUCCAAUGGAAUACUGUUGAUCCACCAUAUUGCAUCAAUGUUUGACAAUCUUAUUUCUUCGCGGUAGUGUUUGAAAGAAGGUUCUGAUAAUGCGUAACCUGCAUUGACAACCUUCUUCCGCAACGUCUUGUCUUUGAUUUCCCGCAUGAAAUUCUGAGCAAUAUGUCUAAUACAGAAGACAUGUGUCGAAGGAGGAUCUUGCCAGCCAUUAUCAAUGUUAUUAUAUGCAUUGAUGAUUGAAGGGUGUCUAUCGGAGAUCAAACAUAAGUUAGGCUGCGGUGCAACGUGCAAUCGGAGAUUUCUUAGGAAAAAACUCUAUCCCUUAACAGUCUCCCCUUCAACAAGGGCAAAUGAGAUUGGAAAAAUGUUGUUGUUGCCAUCUUGUGCCACUGCCAUCAGUAACGUUCCUUUGUAUUUCCCGUACAACCAUGUACCAUAAAUUUGUAUAAUAAGUUUACAGAAAGAAAAACCUAUGAUGCAUGGUUGAUACGCCCAGAAGAGAUGGUGGAAUAUUCCAUUUCCAAUAGCACACGUCCCGUCUUGUCUAUACGCGGGCAACGUUUCCAACUUGACCAUACUCUUUCUCUGCAACACUCUUUCUUUACCACACUCUUUCUUUGCAACACUCAAAUUAUGUCUCUGUUGACUAUGGGUGAUGAACACAGAGAAACACUCGAGAAUAUCUCAACAUUUCUAUGUUAUCUGUAACACCCCGAUUAAAAUAAGAGAAUUAUUUAAUUGAGUUAAUAUUAUUUUAUUAAUUUAAUUAAAUAAAGUUGAAUUAUUGGAUUAUUUUUAUUAUUACUAUAGAUGUUAUUUAUUUUGAUAAUAAUUAAAUAAAUAAAAUAAAGGGAAUAUGAAGAGUGGAAGGGUAAAGUGGAAAUUGGAUAAAAGAGGCCAAAGUGAGGACUCAGGUUGUUUUCACGUGUUUUGCCUCAGAGUCAGAGAAAGGGGGGAGAAACGCUGAGAGAAGAGAAGGAAGAGGAAAAGGCCAAAGAUUGCUCAGAGCUUCCUUCAUCCAAAGAGGUAAGGGGUCUGAACGUUAUUAAACAAUAAUAUGCUGAAAAUGGUGAAAUAUUGGAUGAACGAAAAUGGGGAUUUUAUCGAAGGAAUUCGUAGAAAUUAUAUGCAAUGAUGUUAGGAUUUGUGAAAUCGAAUAGGGGACUAAUUGUAUUAGAUGAUAUGAAUGAUUUUGUGUGAAUUUGGACUGUGGAAGGAUGAAUUUGGAUAGAUCUCGUAGCAGAAAAAGCCAUUGCAGAUCUGGAAAUCUGGUUUCUGGUCAUACGACGUAUGGACUAGGCAAUACGGCUAUGAGAUUGCUGGUACGCGUAUGGCACUAGGCAUACGCGUAUGGAUGGGAAGAUGAUGUUUGAACGUGUUUUGGCUCUGUUGGUACGCGUAUGGGAAUUGUGUACGCGUAGCAUACGCGUAUGGAUAUGGGCAAUACGCGUAUGGAUUUGUCAGACGUGGGCAAUAGCGUAUGGGCAUAGCAAUACGCGUAUGGGCAGACUUGUGGUCUUUCCUGGGCUGUUGUGUGCAGUUUUUGGUUGUUUAGGCUGAGCGAGGUAACUUAGCUGAUGCAUAGUAUACGAGGGAUCAUUUCCCGUUGCUUUGAGUGGUAUAGAUAUUAGUAGAGUGUGAUAAUACUGUGUUUUGAUUAUGUGGCAUGAUGUGAUAUGCUUUUGUGAUAGAAGAUGUUAAUGAUGAUGAUAACAUGACUAUAUGAUGCUGUUGUUGCUGCUGUUGAUUAUGAUGCAUGCUUGUGUGCAGCAUUCAUGAAAGGCCGAUGCCUAGUGAUGAACGGACUGAGUUCCAAUGUAUGUUUGUUGACUCCGGGCUUGUUGAGAGGCUUGGUUCCUUGCGGGGAACUCGGAUUCUAUGGUGAUGAAUCUGGGAGUGGUGAUCUGUAGUUUGGUCACAAAAAUGGUAUACCGAGUCGUGUUGAGUCAUGCAUGGGUGUGUGCAUUGCAUUUGAUAUGUUGUUUUGUUGAUGUUCAUGGUUAUGUUGAUUAUGAUGAUUAUGACUGAGCUGUGUUGGCAUAUGUGAAGUAUAUUUAUGUUUAUAUUUCUGUCGUUAUAUUAUUAUUUAAUAAUGUAAUUCUCACCCCUUCUGCAUGUGUUUAUGUUCAUCUAUGAUGAGCAAUGUGACGAUAAAGAGGAGUAAGCUAUUGUUGAGGUUUGAAGAAUAAGUGUAGAGUUAUUCUACGGAGUCGAGUCAAAUGCUCUUGGUCAUGUGACACCGGGGUUAUGGGAUUCGAUAGAUAAUUGAUUAUUAUUUACGUUGUUUAUGAUGACUAACAUGUUGAGAUGUUUGUUGAGAUAAUGUUGAACCAAUUAUUAUGAAUUGUUAUAUGAUGAAUGUAAUAUUAAUGUUGUUGUCCGCUGCGAAGUUUUAAUAAAAUAAAUAAUAUGUUUUAUGUUGUGAUGCGAUAAGUGUUAUGUUGUAAGAAAUGUAAACUCUUCUACAUGUUGUACUCUGAUAAUCUAUUUAAAUAUGUCGUUUGGGUAGAAGGGUGUUACANCAACUCAGAUACAUUCAACUUCUCAAAUCGCUAACCUUACUACAUCUAAUUCCUACAAUUUCAUCAAUUAUCAUCCAAUUUCGUUCAUCAAUAUUUCACAAAUUCAUCACAUAUCAUUUCAAUCAGAGUCAAAUUCAGAGGUUCAUCACUACCCAUUACAUGCUAUCCCAUAAGACCCAUCAAACGAUGAUAAACCCCCUUACCUGAGUUAAUCCGGCAAUUCCGUUAGCUUCAAGCUUUUCCUCUUCUCUUGCUCUGCCUCUUUGCCCUUUCCCUUUCAGCCGCUUCUCUUUUUUCUUUUUCACGUGAAAACCCUUUUCCAAAAAUUAGGACUUUUUAUUAUUCCAACUUAUAUACUCAAAUAAUAAAACCCAAUAAUAUUAUCCCAAUAAUAAUAUUAAUAAUCCAAUAAUUUUCUAAUUAUUUAAUUAAAUUAAUAAAUAAAAUAUUAACUUAAUUUAAACAAUUAUCUUAAUUUCAUCGGGGUGUUACACCAUGGGCAUUGACGACUCCUCAUGAGGCUUCCAAUGCAGGCGCCAAGGCCUAAAGCGCCUCCUCAUGAGGCUUCUAAUGCAGGCGCCAAGGCCUAAAGCGCCUCCUCUUGGUUCAAGACGCAUGCGCCAGUUCAUCUGACACAUCUUUUUUUAAAGGUGGUUAUUUUAAAAAAGAAAAUGAAAAAAAUAUUAUUUUGGAAUUAAUUUUGAAAAUGGUAGUUAUUUAAAAAAAAAUUCAAAUAAACAAACUUAGUCCUUUAAAAGAACCCAUAUUUGGUCAAUUUUUAGAAAAAUAGUCGAUGGUAUUAUUCUAAUUGAUGGUAUUAUCCCAUGUUAUUUGUUGUAACAUUUUUUAGAGCUAUUUGUCUCCUUUUUAAUAAUGCCUUGAAGAUGGCAACUUCACAUAUUCUGUCACAUAUAUGAUCACAUAAACAUCAAAGAAGAAAAGAAUGAUACCAAUAGUUCUCCCUUAGACAUGCUCAUUGUUCUUUGAAAAUGUUCUUUCUCCCACUCUUGCACCUAUGCAUGGGACCCAAUUCAGAAUCCACAACAUAUAAAUAGCUAUGCAUUAGACAUCAACUUAGAGAAACAACCAUAUUUUUAAUCCCAUGGCUUCUGCAUCAGGCUUGGACCGCACGGAAUCGAUAAAAGAUAACAUGUCAUCCGACGAAUCGAAGCAAAGUAGGUACCAUAUGAAGAGGUGCUUUGCCAAGUACCUUGAAAAGGGUAGAAGGAUCAUAAAAGUUCAUGACUUAAUGGAAGAAAUGGAGCAAGUUAUAAAUGACCAGAAAGAUAAGAAUCAAAUUCUGGAAGGAAAUCUCGGCUUCCUAUUAAGCUGUACACAGGUUAAGUUUUUCCUAAUUAGUUUACAUAAUGUGCUAUUUAAUAUGACAGAAGGUGUAAUAAUAAUGUUAUAAUGUGACACAUUGCAGGAAGCUAUUGUUGAUCCACCAUAUGUUGCUUUUGCUGUAAGGCAAGAUCCUGGUGUUUGGGAAUAUGUUAAAGUGAGCUCUGAGAAUCUUUCGGUUGAACCUAUAACGUCCACCGAUUACCUCAGAUUUAAGGAAAGAAUAUACGAUGAAAAAUGGUACGCUACAUUUCAUUUCACUUAUACUUUUAUAUUCUAAAGCUUUCAACAUGUAACGAGUUUUAAUGGUUAACUUGGUUCUAUGUUGUAGGGCGAACAAUGAAAACGCGUUGGAAGCAGAUUUUGGAGCAUUUGAUUUUCCUAUUCCUAACUUAACCUUGCCUACUUCAAUUGGAAAUGGACUGCAUUUUGUUUCGAAGUUCUUAACUUCGCGGUUUAGUGGCAAAUUGGCGAAAACACAACCUAUAUACGACUACUUGUUAUCGUUAAAUCAUCAAGGAGAAGUAAAUACAUACGAUAACUUCAUUUUAAUAUUUCACACAUACCAGUUUUAGAAACAAGUGAUCGAACCAGAGAGACCUGAGUUGAACCAACUGUGGUUCAAAUCCGUUCAACUCUGGUUCGAUCAGAUUCAACUAGUCCAUUCAUGGUUCAGUCGUUCAACUUUGUAAUGUGAUUUUGGUUAUUCAUCGUUCUUUCUGUCGUCUAAACUGACAGAGUCUAAUGAUAAACGAUACGUUGAGCUCAGUUGCAAAGCUGCAGAUGGCACUAACAGUGGCUGAUGCAUUCCUGUCAGCACUUCCAUUCGAUACUCCCUAUCAUGAUUUUGAACCAAGGUAAACAAAGCUCUUUAUACUGUUAAAUUGAGCGCUAUAUAUCUUUGUGAUUCGCUAAUUUAAUACGAUUUUCGUUCAUAGGUUUAAGCAGUGGGGUUUUGAAAGAGGAUGGGGAGAUUCUGCAGGAAGAGUGAAGGAUACAAUGAGAGCUUUGUCAGAAAUACUCCAGGCUCCAGACCCGAUAAACAUGGAAAAGUUUUUCAAUCGAGUUCCUACGAUAUUCAAUGUCGUGAUCUUCUCUAUUCAUGGCUAUUUUGGUCAAGCUGAUGUUCUUGGCUUGCCAGAUACCGGGGGACAGGUAGCAUUUCUAAACUCGAGAGUAGUCGCGUUACUUUUAGACGAGGCAAAACUGAUUUCAAAACUUCUUCUACAAUCUUGAAUAGGUAGUUUACAUAUUGGAUCAAGUGAGAGCUUUGGAAGCAGAAAUGCUACUUAGAAUUAAGCACCAAGGCUUAAAAGUGAAGCCUCAAAUUCUUGUGGUAUGUUUCAUGCAAAAGAAUCAUGAUUCUCUACAUAUUAUAAUAACUUAUAUAUAAAAGUGUUUGUUAUUAACAAUGAUAGGUCACAAGGCUCAUACCUGAUGCACAAGGAACCAAAUGCAAUCAGGAAUUGGAAACAAUCAUCGAUACUCAACACUCGAAAAUUCUACGCGUGCCUUUUCAGACAGAUAAAGGAGUUCUGCGUCAAUGGGUUUCUCGCUUCGACAUUUAUCCUUAUCUUGAGAGGUUUACUCAGGUAUGCAUAUUUUCUAUAAAAGUUUUUCAGAACCCAAAACAUUUUUCUGUUACGAGUUUUCCGUUUGACUAGUUGUUUGGUUCAUGUUAUAGGAUGCGACGACUAAGAUUCUCAACAUCUUGGAAGGAAAACCGGAUCUUGUUAUAGGAAAUUACACAGAUGGGAAUUUGGCAGCUUCUCUUAUGGCUAGCAAACUUAAGAUAACUCAGGUCACUAUUGGAAUUUUAUUUCCUAUGAUUCAAUUACAUUUUUUUGUGACUUUUAAGGAUGUUUUUUUUCCUUCAUGAAAUAAUAAAUGAGGUUGCUUGAAAACCAGGGAACUAUAGCACAUGCUUUAGAGAAAACUAAGUAUGAAGAUUCAGAUGUCAAGUGGAAAGAAUUAGACCCUAAGUAUCACUUCUCGUGUCAAUUCAUGGCCGAUACAAUCGCAAUGAAUGCAUCGGAUUUCAUCAUAACUAGCACAUAUCAGGAAAUCGCCGGAAGGUUAGCUCUCAAAGAUGAACACCAGACACGACACAGACACGUCGACACUGAUGAUAAUUUGAAAAAUGGAAGAAACUAUGAAAGGCGUGUAACGUAACAUACUGAAUUCUUAGUGUUUCUUUGCAGCAAAGAUAAACCAGGACAAUAUGAAAGUCAUGCAACAUUUACACUCCCGGGGCUAUGCAGAGUUGUUUCGGGGAUAAAUAUAUUCGAUCCGAAGUUCAACAUAGCUGCACCUGGAGCCGACCAAACCGUCUAUUUUCCUUACACGGAGAAAGACAAAAGACUCACUGAAUUUCAUCCUGCCAUUGAAGACUUACUAUAUAGUAAAGUGGAUAACAAAGAUCAUAUGUAAGUGAAAAUGUUGCGGUUCAUUUGUCUACAAUAUUUUACAAAAUGAUUAAUUUUCGAUAAAAUUAUUGUUAUGGAAACAGUGGAUAUCUAGAAAACAAAAGACAACCUAUUAUCUUCUCGAUGGCGAGGCUCGAUGUUGUAAAGAACAUAACUGGUUUAGUCGAAUGGUAUGGAAAGAACAAGAGAUUGAGAAGCCUAGUGAACCUUGUCAUAGUUGGAGGAUUCUUUGAUCCGUUGAAAUCAAAAGAUCGAGAAGAAAUGGCAGAAAUAACAAAAAUGCACGAUUUAAUCGAAAAGUACCAGCUGAAGGGUCAAUUUAGAUGGAUUGUUGCGCAGACCGAUAGACAUCGCAACGGAGAGCUUUAUCGCUUCAUUGCAGACACAAAGGGAGCUUUUGUGCAGCCUGCAUUGUAUGAAGCAUUCGGUCUAACUGUCAUUGAAGCAAUGAACUGUGGUUUGCCUACUUUCGCUACUAACCAUGGAGGUCCAGCAGAAAUUAUCGUCGACAGCGUUUCCGGUUUCCAUAUUGAUCCUCUCAACGGAGACAAAUCGAGCAAUAAAAUAGCCGAUUUCUUCGAAAAAUGUAAAGUGGAUUCCACACAUUGGAACAUGAUUUCUGCAGCCGGAUUGCAGCGCAUUAAUGAACGGUACGCAAAAAAAAAACACCAAUUUCCUAGCUCUCGAUUAUUUAACAUUUGCAAGAAUGAAUCAAGAUUGCAUGGUUUGUUUUGCAGCUAUACAUGGAAGAUUUAUGCAAACAAGUUGUUGAAUAUGGGAAGCAUUUAUACAUUUUGGAGGACAGUGAAUAAUGAUCCGAAAAAAGCGAAGCAAAGAUACAUUUGGAUGUUCUAUAACCUUAUGUUUAAGAAUUUGGUAAGUACUAUAUCUGUUCUAAGAGAUGAACCUCAACAACCAGUGUCCAAUUCCAAGCAGCAAAGUCUCAAAAAACAAGGAACAAGCAGGUAUAUCAUCCAAUCAAUAAAGAAAUUUCGACAAAAUAAAAUCGAAAGUUACUAAAAUAUCGAUUUUGUUUCACUAGACAAUUUUCUCUAAGAGAAGUAUUUGCAUUUACGAAUACAAUUUUUAAUGCCGCUUGUUUUGCUGCUGCAGGCGUUCGAAGUCCAAAUUGCAGAGUUAAGAUCUAACUAUAAGAGUUAAUGUAACUUAUUUUCGGAUGCGCAACAACUAAUUGGGAAAAUCUUGCUCACGCCGUGAAGUCGUCAUUACAAAUAAAUUGUGUAUUUCUUGCAAAAUGACUAAUGUUUCUAUGUUAUCAAUAAAAUGCUUUGAAGUGAUUUAUAAUGGAGGAAAAUCGAACUUAAAGAUUAGUGUAAAAAGCUAUAGAUACUUGUUGUUUAAGGAUAAAUCAUCCACAUGGUACUAUUGUAGGAUCCAAUGUUGAGGAUGUUUCUCUGUCACACAUUUCAGGACCAAUAUUUAUAGGUGUUUCACCCUGCAAGAUUGACAUGAACAACUUAGUCGGUAGGAAAUACGAAUAAAAAAACAUCGAUUUCUUUAUAUUUUUGCAAUGGAAAACAUACCUUAACAAUGUUCCUAAAAUAAGUAAUGUUGUAAUUUCCGGUUGGAAAUAAAACUUCAAUAAGAUCUGCUAAUACCAGUUGAGGUUGCGAGACUGCUCCGUUGUACCAGUCUUAACAUGCAGAAAAUCACACAAAAAUUGAGCAUUUUCACUAGAAAAUCAUGAAAAGAUAGUGUCUUUCAACAUUGAGACGUACCGAGAGACGAAGUUUGAAUCCGUUUGUCAUAUCUCCAUAGGCUUGUGUUUGAUAGAAAUGAAAAACAAGAACGGUCUUCAAUGUUUAGAUUUUGGAUAAACGUCGAUAACGUGUAGUUGAGUGGAUCAGAAGUUAAUGUUUCAUCAAUCACUACUUCCACAGUCUACAUCAUCAGAAAAACUAACUGUUAACAAAUUCGAUACUACUAUUAACUUUCUUAAUCUGCGUGAUUUAUUCGAAACGAGUAUUAUAUUUUGAACUCACACAUAGGAUUGCAUGCAAUUCUUCUAAGUCAUCAGAAUCAGAAACAUUGUAAGUAUUCUUGUUGGCAUCCAAAAUCUCUCCUCCGGAAUCUUCGACAUACUGUUUGCGAUUUUUUGAAUCAAAACAUAGAUAAAGACCAGAAUAACAUAUUUCUCUAACAGAUAGUUAUGGUUUCAUACCUUCAAAUAAUAUGCUUCCUUUGUAAAAGACCAAACACCCUGCAAAGUUACAUGAUACUAAGUUAUAACUCAUUUUGUUUCGAUAAGCAAAAGCCGAAAAACUGAAGAGGAUACAUACAUUGUUAUAUUUCAUCCAUGCUACAGUUGGCUUGAAUGAAGUUCGAGAUUUUGCGAUUUCAGCCAAGCACAAAUAGUUCUCCUUAACCUAAACAAUAACAAGCCAUUUCUUAGUAACAUAAACUACAAAAUCUCGAUAUAGCGGUUAUAUAGUUAAUAGUUACGCCGUUGAGUGAUCGGUGUUCUUACUGCAGUAUAGACUUGAUUGGCUCUAGCUUCAACAUUUGCAAAAGCUCCCAUGAACUUAAUCCAUUCUGCUCUCUGUCAAAGUGAAUGCAUCUUACAUAAGUUAUCUAAGCAUGUUCUUAGGACCUGUUUGGAUCGACUUAUUUAUAUAGAGACUAAAAUUAAGUUGCUUACCUGCAAAGGGGUAUCCUCGGAAAAAGGAACCGUAGUUGCGAAAUUGCAAGCUGAAUGUUGAUCAGCGUCACUAAAGAAGUGUGCAGAAAACUGCGAAAUCAUUUGAUAAUCACUUUUGUUCAACAUUUCAAUCUGUCCUUCUUUAUACAAUUUCAACACACACGGUGAAGCCACAGUGUCCGACGUUACGCCUUUCAAGCUCUCUAGUAAGCCUAAAUGCUGCUCAAAACAACAAUUUUGAAGAAACAUAAGAACUAACAAACAGUUUCAGGUUUGAGCUAAGGGUCGAAUUGAAUCGAAGCGAAACGAAAAAAAAUACAAACAUAACAACAAUUUAUAGUAACAUCUAAACUUUCACUAGUAGCAGUUCUCACCUCUAAGAAGGAAACUUGAGUUCCAAUUCACAGAUCGAAACAUGAAAAAAGGAAAAUGUUAGUCACAACAAAGGUGAAAGAAAUAAUUACUGUAACAAAUAAGUACAAGGGUUGCAGAGGACUCUAAUAACACAUUCUUAAGGCUAAGAUCAAACAAAUCACAAAAACUGAAAUGCAAAAUCACUAGUUUUAGCAUCAUAUACCAGGAAAAGAAUCUGUAUCAACAGAAAAAUUCGACAACGGUAUCACGAAUGAUUUGAUUCUUGAAGUGCAGUACUUCGUCCUUGAUGCAAUCCUUGAGUUAUUCUACCAAUCAAAGGAAUUCAUGGAUGAAAUUUCAGCAAUCUUUUACAAAAACAAAAAAAACUAGCGAAAAAAGUACCUGAAGAAGAAGAUAGCUCUGGCCAUCAACAGCAUUCUUAAUAACCUUGAAGGUUUGGCCAUAGUAAAUAUGAAAAUUCACAGCAUCUUCCACCUUUGAAAUAUUUCCAACUUUCACUGUACUGGAAGCUCCAUCAACACUUCCAUAGCUAAAAAACCAAACCAAUGCUAACAAAAAUAAAGCUUGAAACCAAAAACAAGCAGCUGAAUCCAUAACCAUAAGGUGAAGAAUAAGUUAUAAAAAAAAAAGUGAUAUAAAUUUAGCUCAUUCUUAUUAUUUUAAGAGACAUGAUUAAAAAGCUAAAUAGCUUUUUAAGCAAUUAUCUGCAGCUUAACUGCAGCAAUUAGUUAUAUCUGUGUGCAGCUUUUUGCUGAUAAAUGGAUUGAAAAACUAAAGUGAAAAAAUCACAAGAGUAUGAAUCAAUGAAUUGUUGGCAUGUAGCUAGGUGUAGCUAGUGGGGUGAGUAUAGUGUAUAGUUUUUUGUAUUAUUUAAUAUAAAUUUAACAAAAGAAGAUGAAACAGUGAGUGACCCGUGAAGCUAUGUUUGGAUUAUUUUUACUUUUUCAUGUCAUUUUUUUUCUGUUAAUUCAUAACUUGUUACAUCUUAUUGUUUUGUCAGUUUGUGUGAUUUGAUACUCUGAUGAAUGUGAGUGAUCCACUACUCAUCAUUAUACAUGUGCUGUGCACUCACCUUAGUUCAACCACUACUGCACAAUUCAAAUUCAUGAAGUGAAGAAAUUGUCAUAUGACAUGUUCAGAAAAAUUGAUUGCCAAAGGGAAAAAAAAUGCUAUCAUGUGAAUCUUGACAACAUCAAUAUCAAGAUGGAUGCUUAAAUUCAAUUUAUAUACAUUUUAUUUUACAGAUUUCUUACAUACUUGUACAAAACGAUUACAUAGAUUUCUGUUAAAAAAUUUGUGUAUAUUUUUCUUAGCCUUAAAAUAUCUUUUGUUGUAAAAUUUCAAGUUUUUUUUUUGUAAGGAUAGGAGUUUUCUAAUUAGAAAAAUUUAGAGCAAUAAAAGAGAAUAAUUACUAUGGAUUUAUCAUCUUAAGAAUUGAAAUAUCUUAAUAGGUUAUUUAAACGUUGAAAAACACUUUCAAAUGCAUUAAAAUUGAGUGAUUCAUGUAUUUAAAAGAAAGGGGAUUUUAAAAUUGAGUGAUUCGUGUAUUUAAAAGAGAAGAGACUUAGUCGCACACAUGUAUAAAGAGUUAAUUUGUGUAGCUAAUUUGUAAUGUCUUGUUGAGACUAUUGAUUGAUAGUGAACUAGAGAGUUUUAUGUUGAUUUGCCAUCACUCUUCUUUCAACUUUAUUGUCACUGGCAUCUACUAGGUGUACGCAACCAUCAACUAUAAUGUCCCAUAAAUCAACAUCGUGAUAUAGAAAAAAGCUCUCUAUUCUAUCAUUCUAAUAGUCAAAUCCAUCUCCAUAAAAAAACAGGAGCUUUAGCAUUGUAAUGAUCUUUAUCAUUUGUUUGAGCAACUGGUGGUGGGAGGGCUGUCAUUGUGUUUCACACUGGAUCUUUAUGUGACACUGUUAAGUAUUUGAUAUCUUAUCAAGAUCAGAACUGGAGCUCUAAUGCCAAUUGAAGGUGGCAAGAAACACAAGAAAGCGGGGUUUGAAUUGGGUUUCUAAAAAUAAAAGCUUUUUCAAAACCAACUCAAUCAAACAAAAACACGAACAAGAAAAAUAAAAAAGUUAUUUUUAUACUGUUCACUGUUAACGAAGCUACCUUCAGUCCACCCUACAAGUGGACUGUUAACGAAGCUAUCUUAUCAAGAUCAGAACUGGAGCUCUAAUGCCAAUUGAAGGUGCAAGAACACAAGAAAGCGGGUUUGAAUUGGGUUUCUAAAAAUAAAAGCUUUUUCAAAACCAACUCAAUCAACAAAAACACGAACAAGAAAAAUAAAAAGUUAUUUUAUACUGGUUCACUGUUAACGAAGCUACCUUCAGUCCACCCUACCAAAUGGACUGUUAACGAAGCUAUCUUAUCAAGAUCAGAACUGGAGCUCUAAUGCCAAUUGAAGGUGGCAAGAAACACAAGAAAGCGGGGUUUGAAUUGGGUUUCUAAAAAUAAAAGCUUUUUCAAAACCAACUCAAUCAAACAAAAACACGAACAAGAAAAAUAAAAAAGUUAUUUUUAUACUGGUUCACUGUUAACGAAGCUACCUUCAGUCCACCCUACCAAAGUGAUUUUGCCUUCUCAACAAGGAUUUAAUCCACUAUAACUGAAACUGAUUAUAGACACCACAAAGACAAACCGUCUUUGUCUUCUCGAGUCUAUCUGAUAAAACCUAAUCACUCAAACAACUUUGAGAUUUACAAGUGUGCAUUUACAAGUAUUGCUUCUAAGAAAGCAAAUUAACACAAGUUAAAUACAAUGAAUAUCUUCACACAAUAACCAACAAUAACUCUAGUGUGUUUACAAAGAUUAUACAAAGAAAAUAUAUAUUUUAGCAAAUAACGUGUGUAUAAGCAUAGUUUUUAGCAUAGUGAAUUAACAAUAUCUUCCAUUCUUCCAAGACUCCUUUAUACAGGUAGUUAAAAGAUUCGUUGGAGGGUGGAAUUGGAAUAGCAAAUUGUAGCUGUCUCUUUGUGUAACAAUUUACAUAUACGAGACAAAAUGGUACAAUAGUAUUGCCCUUAACCCACAAAAUCAGGGUAGUGAAGGAAAAUGUGACCUUGUAUUGUGUACUAUUUUCCUGACGCAAAAUCCAGUUGAUCUUAUCCUCUAAUCUUUAGAGAGUUCUGAUGAAAGGAUGUUGUAUCAUGUUUAAAAGGAUCAAGAGACAAGUUGACAGAAUCUUCAGAACCUCGAUCUUUAGAGUUUUGACACAGUUCCUCAGAACCUGGUCUUCAUAGUAUUCAAAUAUUGUUCUUUAGAAUCUUCGAAACUUGAGCGUAAGAUCUUGAAGGUAGACAAUCCUUUAGAGGCUCUUCAAUAAGAGUUAUAAUCAAAAGAUUUAGCACAAACGUUCAUCACAACCAUUGUCUAAGAUCUUUCUAGAACUUGAUAGCAUCUUGUAAAUCACUUGUAUCUCUUCAGAGUCAGAGUGUGUUGAUUCCAGAGUUUGAUGACGUCACACAUCAAUGCUUCAGAGUCAGAACCUAUUAGCAAAAGCUACACACUAGAUAAAAACCAUUAGUACACAAAAUUAUUCUCUAAGAAAUAAUGCAUUGUUAUCAUCAAAACUAAAGGCCAGAUGCAGAACCAAAUCUUGUUCUAACAAUCUCCCCCUUUUUGAUGAUGACAAAACCAUGUAUUUUGAUGAAUAAUUUUUUACUUGGUUUAAUCACAUAAAAAUAUUAGAGCAAGGUCUGUAAGCUCCCAAUGAAUUUUAUUCAAUAAAAAAUUAUUUUUUAGCUUAGAAUAUCAGAGUUAGGUUUGCAAGUUGCCCCCAAAUUUAAGACUGAAAAUAAUCUUAAUAAAUAUAAAAAUCUCAAUCAGCAUGAAAGAAAUAACUUCCCACAAGGCAGAAGCCUGGUGGUUACUAUCUUCCCAUAAGGAAGAAACCUGGUUACUAUCUUCCCAUUAAGGAAGAAACCCGAUUGUAAUGGUUGAAGUAACUUCCCAGAAUGCAGCAUCUUAGGUACAUAAGUAUUUCAUUCAGAGUCCUUGCUUGAGUGUCAGAAGGUCUGGUUAUCAGUCUCGUCACAGAGCAUGAUUUAUCAGAGCUUUCAUAGUUUGGUUUCACAACCUGGUUGUAUUACUCAUGUCUUGUUGUAGUUAUAAAUGUAUACAUCUGGUUCAUAGCUUGUAUGCACCUGUUUCAACUUGGUUCAAUAAGCACCUUGUUCAGAACGAGAAAAUGCAUAGUUCUUAAAACAUAAGUCUGGUUACUCUAAACUCAAUUCAGAUUGGUUAAUACCUUAGUACCUGAAACACUUGGUUAAUAAGAUGGACUUUUCAAAGUUCUCAGAAAGUUACCAAUGUCAGAAACAUAUAAACAUGUUUGGGUUUCAGAAUUGGAAUUAGAUAUAUCAAAAUCAAUAAUUAUUUCUCCCCUUUUGUCAUCAUUCAAAAAGAAAAUAAAUAUAAAGUAAACCAAAAUAAACUUCCAUUCCAUUAAAGAAGAGAAUUCAGAUACAUAAAUGGAAAACAAACAAAGACAAACACCACAAAGUUUUAAAAACUAGGGUUUAUGAGGGGGUGACAGUCUUGAUAAGAUCUCUCCAAGCAGCCCUUCUAUCUUUGAUGUCCUUUCUUUCACUUCAGAAUUCUCAGCCAUCAAAUGCUCCAAAGUCUUCAAAAUAUAUUCUUUAGAAACUAAAGUCUUCUUGACGCCAGAGCCACUUCCAACUUCAAGAGUAGGCUCAGAGGCAACCAUAGCAGACUGGACUGGAGAAGGAGGUGGAGUCACUUAUGGAGUAGUAAGUAGAAGCGUUAGAGGAACCUUCUGAAGCAGAGGUUCAACAAUACUAGAGAGUCUGACAUAGAAGUUCCUUUUAGAUUUCUUUAGGCAAGCAAACUCCAACUCUUCAGAGUUGACUUCUAUCCAACUUCUGAAGUGGUUGGUCAAAGCGCACACUUCAGAAAUGUUUAUGUUAGAAGAACAAGCCUCAUAGAGGGCGGGAAGUCUGCCAGCAGCCUCGCCUUUAAGAUGAGUAAACAAUUCAUCCGAUGGUGUAGGGUGAAUGUUGGAUUAAGAGGUUGUUUGGUCAGAGUAGGACUAAAGGGUUCUAUCUUGGAGGGCUAGGAGCUCAACUUCUGAAUCAGUAUCAGAAUCAAUGUUUGAUUCUGCAAUAGGGAUGUCAGAGUGAGUAAGCAUUCAUGGUUGAGGGUUUUCUGGUUGAAUAAGGUGGGAUAAGAGAAAAUGUGAUAAUAGUGGUUGAGUUGUUGGUGAGAUAGUGGAGGUUAGAAUUUUAGAAAUAGAUGGUAAGGGUGGUGGAAUGGUAAUAUUUGGAUUAGAGGGUUGGGGAAGCAGAAGUAUGAUUGGGGCCAGAAGUAAUUGGUUCCAGAACAUAAGGAAUAUUAUAAGGAAGAGUGGUUGAAGGGAGAGAGAAAACUUUUAAAGAGGUAUAUGGAAAGGAGAUAGGUGAAAGGGGUGUGGUUAUUGAAAUGGAUAAACUAUAAACAACAGUAAGACGACGAGCUUCAAAAGGAGCAGUCGUUCUAGAAGCAGUUCCAGUAGAAGUAGCUUCAGAGGUUAUGGGUUCUUCAAUAAAAGUACGUCGAUGCUCCCUAGAAGCCUUAAACUUCUUGGCCAUCCUUUUAGAAUGCUUCUUAACAGUCAUCCUCUUAUUCUUCUAAGAAAUAGAUUCAGAAGCUGUCAGAAUAGCAUCGGCAUGACACUUCUCCAGAAACUCUACCACCUCUUUUAGAGGAUAUUGAUUUGAGAGGAUAAGGAAAUCUUUUAAAGGAAUCCUUCUAUUGAGGAUGAUUUCCUUGGGAAAUUCAGCAGAAGGACUUAUCACUUAAGUAAUAAGCCCCAUAUUCUUCAGACUUUUGGCGUUCCGCAUCCUGCCAUCCAGAGGUUGCAUACCUUUGGAGAACUGAUCGUCUGUUAGAGAGUCAAUCAGUUGGCUCUCCAUCAAAAUGUAUGAGACCAACCUACCCAGAGGAAUGUAGCUCUUUGUCUUUCUGCUACCAUCUCAGGUGUCCCUCAUAGUAUCCCUUAGAUGUUGAAACAGAAGUGUAGGAAGAUUCACCUUCUUUUCAGUUUCAAUAUAAUAGAGGAUAUAUUAUUAACCACUGUUGAUGUAGUCGGAAGAGUUGGUUGCCGUUAUGUGAUGAACACAUCCCAGAAGAAUUUUAGUCCAAACCUUCAUAACUUAUUUGGUUAAACAAUCUGUCUUCUGGAUACUGAACAAUUUUUGCAUUUAAUAGUUGUCAAUCCGUCUAGUGGAACAAUUUUAAAGGCAAUUGUCUUAGAAAACUGAACUGCUGAUGUGACACAUUGGAUGAAUAAACCUCUUGGGAUUAGGUAAAACCUUCACACUUUACCCUCUUAUCAUAUUUUUGCACUAUUCAAGAUUUUUCUCAUGAUUGCAAAAACUCUUAUAUAAACCCAUUUCACACACUUUUGCUACAUCCACUCCCCACACUUUCUCUCUUUGAGACUAAAACUCUCUGCAACCCAAAACCCUUGUUCUUCUUCAAUGAUGGCUUCUCAACAACAAUCUGCUCAACAAGAACAAACUCAAAAAUAACGUGUUACAACUGCUCAAAGAACUGUUUGUGGUUCUUCUUCGUCAACACAACAACCACAACAAACCCAUAAUCUCCUUCAAGUCAGUUCUUCAAAAUUGGCUUCAGGAUCUCCUCGGUAUGUGUUCAAUGAAUAUUCUUAUGAUACUCAUGAACUCACAUUAUAUACUCCUAUCAAAGAUUUAGAAGUUCUCUGUGAAAUCUUGGUUGAGUUUGACAACAUGAAAGAUAAUGGAAUUGAUCUUUUACCUGCUGUAAAAUUUCAAGGCUGAGAAUAAUACUUUGACUGUCUUCAAGGUCCAAUUUUCUAUCAUCUGGUUAGAGAAUUAUGGAUCAUACCAAGACUUCACUUUUCCAGGUUACUUCUUUCGGUAUGGGAAAAAAGAUUGUCAUUAGUGAGAAACUUAUUGCCAAACUCAUUGGACAUGAUGAGUCUAGAAUAAGAUGCGAACAAAUGGUGGAAAGGGAAUCUAAUUUGGUUGAAAUUUUAAAAGUGAUCUUCACUUUUGGAAUUCACUCUAGCAAGAUCAAGGAUAUUCACCCUCAUUUGAGGAUUUAGGCCAUAAUUUUCCUGGGAUGUGUUCAUCACAGAAAGGCAACAAAUUCCUCUGACUACAUCAAAAGUGACCAGCAAUAUGUUCUUUACUACAUUGAUACUAAAAAGAAGGUGAAUCUCCCUGCAUUCAUCUUUUAGCACUUAAGAGAUGUAGUGAAGGAAACUAGAGAGGGCAGCAAGAAGAUGAGGAACUGAAUUCCACUUGGUAGGCUGAUUUUAUAUAUUCUGAUGGAGAGUAAGCUAAUAGACUCUCUAACAGAAGCUCAGAUUACCAAAGGGAUGGAACCUAUGGUUGGUGUCAUACCCCAAAAUGUAUCCUCUCCUUUUCACUUUUUCAUCUAACCUAUGACUUAAGAUUCAUCUGGAUGCAUUCAUACUUCAUUCACAUGCAUCAUUUAUUUGUGCUAACACUUGCUAAUGAUCAACAUAGUUUCAAAGCUUAUGGAUUGCAAAAGCUAGGGUUUUCUUGUUGUCCAAUCCCUAGAGAUAAGGUAUGGCUCAUCAUGGGGAAUUAUUUAGGGUGAAACCCUAAUUUCUUGAUCUGUGGGCCAUGGAUUCAAUGAGAUCACAACUAGGCAUUCAUCAGGGGAUCAAAACCCUAAUUCUUGGCUUUGUUCCUCUGGGAUCUUGUGAUUAACUCUUGAGCUUUAUUUUGAUCUUCUAAACCCUAAUUGGGGGGGCCCCCGUGAGAACCAGGAUGUGUUUGUGCUUGGUAUUGAGGAUUCAUCUGUAGCUUCUUGGUGAAGCAAAACCCUAAUUUAAGUUACCUUUCCUUGUGGAU
This 46793-nucleotide long non-coding RNA is filed under the name Lathyrus oleraceus (garden pea). Its description in RNAcentral is "Pisum sativum (pea) long non-coding RNA (PSAT_LNC019470)". Lineage: Eukaryota; Viridiplantae; Streptophyta; Magnoliopsida; Fabales; Fabaceae. The record is from RNAcentral.